UCACGUGGCUAAAAUCUGGCAAUCUGACCCAAUGCAUCAUGCUUUUGUAGACUCCAUUUUCCCAAAGUUAUGAAGCACAUCUCGACUUUAAACUUGAUUUUGUUGGAUGUUCCCUGAUUGCUUGGGCAAGAGCUAUGAACUGUAUAACCUGCAUCUGAAAUGGAACUGAAACUUCUCUUAUGGUUGUUCCAUUAUUGUUAUUUUUUCUUUUGUAUAAUUGUCACGUGCAUAAAUAGAUAUAUUUAGCUUUCUUUUUUUCACCCUUGUUCUUGAUUCCAAAUAAUGUUCUUGCGGUUGGAAGGUCAGAAAUUGCUAGGACAUGCCUUUUCCAAAUUGACGAUUCUAAUUUAAUCCGUGAUAAACGAAGAACUUGGGUUUGUGUAGCUCACUGGCAUCUCUAAGAUGUGGUCAUUGGGAAAAGCAGCGACAUAUCAAUUACCAGUAAUCACCACAAGAACAGAAACCUUGCUGGAAAAGGUGGAAACGAUUACUAUCUCGAGCAAUGAUUUAUCGGCCGUGUAAUUUUGAUACCGGCUCGGCAAAUGAAUGGCAAUCAGAGCAUAUUCGGAGAUUCUUUGCAACACGAAUUAUCAUUCCUUGACCUGUACUGAUAAGUGCAAAAGCUAUCGCUAAUUAUUCACUAUUUCGACUGAACUGGUACUCUUUCUCCUUCUCAUUAACAUCAAGCAGAAGAAAACUCGCAAGGCCAGGAUAGCCAUUCUACAGCAAAUCUCUUUCAACAUAGGUUCAACUUGGGUCAUUUCUGGGUGUGAUUCAGCACCUGACGUGAACUCGUAGUUUUUUCCACUGAUCUCUACCGAGCUUGAUCCAGGCAUUUUGUGGACUCCUUUCUCCUUUAGGUGUAGCCUGACCUUUGCAACCUCCAUAUAUGUUCGACAGAAGAACAUGAAUCCCAGUCCUCUCAGGCUCCAAUUCAGCUAGCCUUUCAGCUGUAUAAGCUGCAACACUACAUUUUUUUGUAUCCGGCAAGCAGCUAAAAGAGAUCCCCAGAUCACGUCAUUAGGCUCCAUUGGCAUGCUAUUUAUGAGACAUAAGAGCUUCGCUCAACAACCCAGCUCGGCCAAGCAAAUCAACCAUGCACCCAUAAUGGACAGCUUGAGGAGCUAUACAAUAGAUAUCCUUCAUGGCCCUAAAAAUAGCCAGCCCUGUUCUACUAACCCGCUGUGGCUCAAUGCAGUCAGCAGUCCCACAAAUACCACUCCAUGUGGUUUAAUCCCUUGCUGCAGCAUUUUAUUGAAAAGCUCAAUAGCCUCGUAACCAUUUCCCUCCAUCGCCAUUGCACCGAAGGCUACAGUCCUGGCUGAAACAUCUCUUUUCAUCACCUUGUUGAAAACUUGCAUUGCACUCUUUAGGUCACCACAUCUAGCAAACACAUCAAUCAAGGCUGUGCCUAGUUGCAGAUCACAGUGAAUAUCUUUCAACUAGAUAUAACUAUGGAUCCACUUUGAAAGGUCCAGAGCUCCUAGAUACCUGCAGGCAAUAAACUUCAGGAUCCACCCAAGUGAUGAUCUUUAUUAGUCAAUGCAAAUAUUUUUUACACGUGUCAUAUAAUUUAACAAAAUUCAAACUGGAGGAAAGUUAAUGAAACACAUAGUAAAAGGAUAGAAUUUAUUAAACAAGAUUUGUAUAAGGGAAAAAUCCAUAAAAAAAAUAAAAAAAGUGGAAACUUUAUUUAUUUAAUUGAGAUACACAGAGAAGACAACGUUACAUGCACCCACCGGGCUUAGCAUUGGGUUACAAGUUUCUUGGUGAAACAAAGAUGGAUUAUCAGAUUCUUAUUCCCGGUUUCUUUAUCUUUACAUGAUCGCUUCUCGGUUUUUUUAGCACUUGAAGAAAAUUUAAGGAUAUUUGGAGAGAACCCUGCUUAUAGCUCUGAUGGUGUUUGGGGUAGUCCUGCAGCAGCCUCCAAAUAGAGAAGCCCCGGCUUCACGCCACCUACCUAUGUAUGAGACGAAGUCUUCAUCUACUACCACUCCACUUGAUUUCUGCAACAGUACACAUUGAAUCAAACUUCUGAAUCACUAACGUUAAGGAGAUGGUGCAAGUGAUUGAUCAAAACAGGAACAAAUUUUGCUUCGUAACGACAAUAGGAUGUUAAAGAGCUUCAGUUGUCCUAAAAGGGCUGUUGUAUACAAAAAUAUUCAGCAAUUCUAAAUAACGAAUUAGCAACUGUGCAGUUCUUCAGCCACUCCUCCUUACGGGGACGUAGUACUUGGUGGAGAAACCCACAAAGAACAGCCUGUUAUUUGAAGAAAAAAGAACAUGAGAAUGCUCACCACCCACUGCUUAAGCUCAGCAUUGUACGUCUCGCCGCUGUUGGGAUAUAUGACUAUUGGCUUACUUGUUGCCUGCCAGAUUAACCAGCCAAAAAGCGUUAGUCCCAGAAGUUGAUUAGGUUGAAGCAGAGGUUCUUCUGGAAAUUUGGUUUUAACUAACAAAAAUAUUAUUAACUUCAGAAAACAGACCUUUUGGAUGGAGAGAACGAGUCCAUGGAUAAAUCUUGGAGGGGUACAGUUGAUUCCAACAGCAACAACUCGUUUGCAGGAAUCUGCAAUGGAGGCACACUCAAGGAUGGAAUCACCACUGACCACAUUAAUUCCAUCCUUGGAAUUGAAAGAGAACCAUGCUGGAAUAUUCAUCUCUUCCUCCUCAAGAAGCUCUGCAUAAGCCUGAUCAACAAAACCAAGCAAGAUUACGAGAGUUAAUUGCCAGAAAAGGUACACGCUAUGACAUUCUUAAUAAAAGCCACAGAAUCAUUAAUUGAUCUACUCAGAAAUCAACCAAUUCGUUUGUGUAAUUAUGAAAUAUAUUAACUACCUUUGCCUCGAGCUUAUUCGGAAUUGUCUCAAACGCAAUCAGGUCAGCACCUGAUUUCGCUAGAAUCUGCAACCUUCUCCUAUGAAAAUCCUUCAAUGUUUUUAGAGAAACUGCAUCACCAUAUUUCCCACUGUAAAGAGAGACAGCGGCAGAUUGUUGACAGGUAGAAGAAAAGGGAAUUACUAUAAGGCAUGAUAAUCUUGAUGUAAUAUUUGGUGAUUGCUUGUGCUAUAAAUAUUGUCGCAUAAUCUGAUAGCAAGAGCAAAAACUAUGACGUUAAAUCAUUUAGUUACUAACCUAUACUCGGAGCCAUCAGCCAAAUAAGCACCAUAGCUGCCAAUGGAAGCAGCAACUAAAACAGGACGUCUUGAGAUUUUCCACUUUCAAUGUAAUCCGAAGAACCUUUGGUAGUACAUUUGUCAUAGUAAAUUUCCCUUGCCUCGCAUGCAAUUUCAACACUUCUCCUAAGCAAUAAUUCAGCUUCUUCUUCAGACAAACCUUUAGCCACAAAACCCUGAAUAGUAGCCUGUCACAUUUUAUUUUUUUUUAAACGUGUCAGCUUAAAAUUUAUCUCCACAAAAACUUGUAUAAUAUAAUUGGUGAUUAUAAUAUAUAUGAAUAAAAUACCUGAUAAGAUGCUGUUAUUAUGAUAUUUGCACCAGCAUGAAGAUAAUCUAGGUGAACCUGUCAUGUUAAACACGAUCAACAAUAAUAUUCACGAUCAAGAAAGGAAUGCCGUCGAGGACAGCAACUAAUGUAAUUGCCCAAUUUUAGCUGUCCAUGAACUCUUUAAGCUUGUGGACUCAAGAACAUGUACACGAGAUCCAUUGUGUCUAACUGGUACAAUUGCAAAAAAUUGGCACAGUUCAUGUUUCUUCAAAGUUCAAAAGAAUUGGUGUUCAACUUCGUACUACAUUGCGCAUGUAAGGCCUGUUUAUUUCUUUAAAAAUAUUUUUGAAAAAAUUUAAAUUUUAUUUAUUUUUUAUUUAUUCAAAUUAAUAUGUUUUUAGUGUUUUCAAAUCAUUUUAAUGUGCUGAUAUAAAAUAAUUUUUAAAAAAUAAAAAAACAUCAUUAACAUGUAUUUGGUAUGAAAAUUAUUUGAAAAUAAUUAAACAUAUUACUAAACAAGUUUGUAGUCAAAAUUGGCCAUUUUCGUGCCGACUAGGGAUCAUUAUUAUCUUUCCAUGGAGAACGUUAAUAACUUUUUAAUUUUCAAAAUUCUAAGCAUGAAACUGGAAUAAAACAAAAAUAUUCCUUCUGGAAUUUGGCUAAAAAUCUGGAACAGAUAGAGAUUUUAAAUGAGAGGAUAAUUAUUUUAUUUUAUUUAUUUUUUUAAAUUAAUAUAAAAUAUUUUAGUAAUGAAACGAAACGAAAUGAAAUUAACGUAAAGUUAUAACCAAACAUAGCUCACGUUCACUCACUCUUUUUAAUUAUCUCUUUCAUUUCUUUGAUUUUUCCCAAAUAUUUUUGUUUUAUUUUUGUACUCCCAGUACUUUUCAUCACAUAAUAACAUGAUAUUUAUUAUAGGUUAAAAGAAUCAUCUCAAAUUCAAUAAAUAAAUUUUUAAAAAUAAUUUUAUAUUGAUCUUUAAUAUAUACAUUUUUAGAUAAAAAUUAUUUAAAUUCGAAAUUUAUAUUAAUUUUAUAUUAAUUUAAAAUUAAAAUUCAAUAAAUUAAUUAUCAUAUCUGUAAUAUUAUCUCAAAAAAUAUCUUAAUUUUUAAAAUAUAUACUUAUACUUUUUAACUUGCACGAAAUAGACACGUUUCAUUUGUUCCGCAUGGCAAUUGACACGUCAAUAAAAACACCAUUGGUCUGGGCAAGAAGAGCCUUGCCACGUAAGUUAGAGAUGUGCCUUUGCCACGUAAUUUGUUAGAAGAUGAUAACAAGCUCCCUUGUAUUCGUAUCAUAUAUGUAAGAGCCACGACACCGAUGUCCUAACUUUUGGUUCACUUCAUUAUCUCUAAGAAGCAAGUUAGGAUCAUUACAAAUUCACAAUUACCAUCAACCCUAAAAUAGCUUAGCGCCGAAAGAGGGGAAAAAGAUUCUUCUAAAAAUAAUAAAAAUAUAUUUUUAAUUUUUCAAUGCUCUUUUUACAUGCUUCAAGACAGUGUUAAAUAAAAUACUAUUUUACCAUCUCUUUACAAAAAUGCUAUUUCUAUAUAUUUUGCAAAAAUACUAAAGUACUAUUCAUUACAAUAAUAAUAUUUUUUCACUAUUUUUUCUUUUUUUUUUUACAUUUAUUUUUUUAUAAGAUUAAUUUAUUAAUCCAUGAUCUUUCGUAGGUUUGCCGACUCACCUAAAUUGAUUUAAAUUGUUUUUUUUUUUAAAAAAAAAUUUAUAUUUUAAUAUUGGGUCGAUUAGAAAAUUAUCGAGCUAUUUUUAGAUUUGUUAAUCAAUUGAGUCUUAUUAAAUUAUUAAAAAGUUAUGUAUUAAAUAUAUUAAAAUAUAAUAAAAUCUUCUAAAUAAGGCAUAAUUUAAAAUAAAUUAUUUCUAACAGCAUCUUUUAUAUGGGAGAUACUAUAAGAAUAAAAUUUUCAUAAUUCCACAUAGAAAGGAACACGUACACCUCUUUUUACACAUAAUUAAUUUGUAGAUGCCCACUACCUAUUUAUAUACUAGUUAUGACAAUGCAUAAUUAACAAUCAAACUAAAAAUAAAAUAAAUUGGACUCUCAAGUAACUAUGUAGAAAGAAAUCCUCCAACAUUAGAACCAAGAACACAAUCAAGAUUACAUAUACAACUAGUAAAAAGAAAAAGAAAAAGGUUUCGUGCGGCUCGGAAACAACAUGAAAAAGAAAGGUGAUGGAAGGAUCAUAUUUUCCAAUCAAGACAUUAAUUUUUCUCUUUUAUGUUCGCAAAAAGAGGAAAACAAAACAGUUAAUUAAUCUGCACAGAGAAAUGCUUCCAAAUAUAGAGAGGGGGUGAGAGAGGGUUACCUUUCUAACAAGAUGAGGAGAACUGAUGAGGCAUUUGGCACUCCAGAGAGGGUCGUUAAGGUCAGCACCAUGUCGUUCAAGUUCAGUGGCGAAGCCGCCAUCAACAACAGCAUAGCCACCACAUUUCUGGAGGAAAUCCGUCAUCAACCUCGACGAAGUUUCAACGAUUCCCAAUUCCAUGUUGUUAAUGAUUAUGAUUAAGAAAAAGACGGAAGAGGUUGAGAGAGAUGGCGAGUAGCCAAUGUGGAAAAAGAAGCAGAAAGCACCCGUUAAUGCUGUCCAAAUUCUUGCUAUCAAUUUAUAGAGAAAACAAAGAGUUGCUGUGUGUUUAAAGUAUGGUUGUGAUUGUUUUUUAAAUGUUUUUUAUUCGGAAAUGUAUUAAAAUAAUAUUUUUUAUUUUUUAAAAAUUAUUUUAAUAUUAACAUAUAAAAUGAUAUAAAAAUAAUAUUAAUUUAAAAUAAAAAAAUAAAAAAUAAACAAAAAUAUUUUCAAAUUGAAAAAACAAAUAUUUAGAAAGACUAUAAACUGACGUGUCGUUCUUACACACAACAAUAAAUGAUAUGUCUAUUCUCCAUGAUGGUAUAAGUUUGUGGUUGCGGGACUUUCCAUCACCAUUUCACCACGACUAAUCCUUCGUAAUUCAGGAUUAACUGCUCCAAAUCAUGUUAAUCAAAUUUGUGCAAGUAUUAUGGUAAGUAUUGAAAUAGCUUGGAACAUAAAUUUCUAUAAAAAUGAAAAAUAUCCUCCCUUUAAAUACAGUUUAAUUUAAACUAUUGAAUUACAUAAUUACAACUUACAAGUAAUUAAUCAUCGAUCCAAAUUGAGUAUUUUUAGAUAAUAGACCUCAACAUAAACUAUAAAAUUUGAUUUUGUUAAGAAACAUUUCAUGAGCAAAGGAAUUAUAAAUUUUGCAUGGUACUAUAAUUAAAAGAGCCGAAGAAAUUAUAAAAUUGGAAGCAUAAGUAUGCUUAUUGUGUAAAUCUGAUUUAAAGAAUGGCUACGAUAUACAAACUCUUAUCCUCUUAUACAUUAAUUAAAAAUUAAAAACCAGAUAAGGAUGAAAAUCCUUCACUUUAGGAAAUGAUUCUUGCAAAGCAUUGUUGUUAUCUUCUCUAAUGAGUUGUAGAUCAGUUACGUUAGCGUUCUCUCUUUUACAAAGAUCUCAAUCCUCAGGUGGGAACAUAUAUUUUAUAACGAAAAAAGAAUGUAGGCAAUUGUUGAAAAAACAUCAUAAAAUUGAAAAAUAAUAGAAGAGUUGCAAUCCAAUUAGAUAAAAAAAAUCCUAAAUGAAUUAGAGAAAUAUAAGAAAUUUCAAACGGUAACUUAUAGGUUUUAUUUGAAAGUUUUUCUAAACUCUAAUGGAUAUGAAAUUUUAAUCCUAAAAAAAAUUAUAUAUAGCCAUUGGAAUUUUCUACAAAAAUUCCAUUCUGAUUUAAUUUUUAGAUUGAAAAUUAUAUCAAUUAAUAUGAAGUUACAAAAUUUUUUAAAAAAAAUUGCAUCAAUCUUUCUAAAUUAAAAAAAAAAAACUCAUCAUCAAGUUUAGAAUUGUUUUUACCUCAAUUUCAUGGAUAUUCAAUCCAAACUCUCCCGACACUUUUUUCUUUAUUCGCUUUAAGUGUGUAACAAUUCAGGAUAUCAACCACGGUCUCUUCAUUUUAAAAUUUGUAUAAAAAUUAAUAAUUGAUAAAUUAUUUCUCUUUCAUUAACUUUAAAUAUUUUUUGCAAAUCUCAAACUUAAUUCUUGCAUAUAUGUCCAAUCCAUAUAACACUUGAAUACAUAUGCCUUUGUGAUAACAAUAAAGUUGUAAUUAAAAAGAAUCAACCUACUUUAAAUUAAGGGUUAAUUAUAAAAAAAAUUUCUUAUAGUUUUAUCUUCAUUUCAUUCCCCUUUUAUAUUUUCAUAAAUUAUAUUUUUUAUCUUGUAAUUUAUAUGUUCAAUAACAAUUUAUAUCCUCAGUAAUGUAUUAUAUUUCAUUAUGGAUAGAAAAUGUAAUUUAUAAAAGUAUGAAGAUAAAAUAAGAUAUAAAUCAAAUUAUCAAAGUACUAUUUUUCUAACUAUGCCUUAAAUUAAUAAAAAUAAAUUUAUUCAAUAGUACCAACCUCUUUCUUAAAAAAUUACACUGAAAGUCUAUCUUAUUAAUGUCAACACCAUCAAUGGUACCAACCUCUUUCUUAGGUGGUGAAUAGAAACAAAUCCUGAUAAGGAUAUUUAUCAUUAUCUAAUAUAAAACUAGACACAGUCUGCAGCAGCCUGUAUCCAUCCAGUUUGAGGUCCUCUUUCUUCACGUAAAAAAUCAAGAAACGCAGCUUACGUGUUGUAGGCUAUGGAGAUGUCUGCUUGAAUCUGAUCCAAAUCCAGUCCAGGUUCUGUCCAUUUUAAGGUUUUAAUUUUACAAAAAGAAAGACAAGGAAAAGUAAAAAAUGUUCCUUUUAGACGAGUUGAAAUUUUAGAAAGAAAUUUUUUUUGUGUUUUUAAAAAAGUUUGAAAAAGUUUUUUUUAUUUUAAAUUAAUAUUUUUUGAUAUUUUUAGAUUAUUUUGAUAUGUUAAUAUUAAAAAUAAUUUUAAAAAUUAAAAAAUAUAUUAUUUUAAUAUAUUUUUAAAUAAAAAAUAUUUUAAAAACAACCGGCACAUGAAUUUUUAUUUUUUUUAUGUUUUUUAAUAAUAAAAAAAAUAGCUCUGGAUGCACAGCUCAAAACUUAAGAUUCCAACGCUGUGUCCUUUUCUAUGCUCCUAUAAGAAGUGAUUUAUAUGCAACAUUUGGACGCACUGACAAAUGAUUUUUAACUUGUACGAUGUUAUGGACAGAUUGUGUUUGUUAUAUAUAUAAUUAUCAUUUAAAAAAAUUUAUUAAGUAAUAUAUCAGAUGACGAAAUUAAGGAUAUAAAAUAAUAUUACGAUAUAAAGUGUAAAUGUGUUUAGUAAGUUUAAAGACAAUGAAUUAAUUAGAAUGGAUCCUAUAGAAGAUUAAUUUAUAUCUUAAAUCAAUUUAAAAUAAAAAAUAUAUGGGUCUCAAACGCAAGGCACAAGAUAAAUAAAUAAAAAUUAGACAUGUAAAUUAAAAAAAUAAGAGAGAAAAAUAAAAAAAAAACUUUUUGAUUAAUAAUUUUUUUUUACUCCUCCCUCUUGGAGGGCAGUACUUCAACUUCUAAGUGUUUUUGUUAAAAAAAUAUCUCCCAAUAGCUUAAAGUAUUAGAUGAUCUCAAAUAUGAUUUAUAUUAUUUUUUAACACAUCCCCUCAAUGAAACUUUUGGACUUGAAAUUUACACUGGCUCAUAUUAUUUUAUAUUAUUUUUAUCAAAUAAAUAUGAUGUUGAUAUUUAAACUCGACCGUGGUCAGUAAGACUCUGAUACAAUAAAAAAUCCAAACCUAAUAACUUAAAUUAUUAAGUAAAAUUUCAGAAUAUAAUUUAUAUUAUUUUUAACACUAUACUCUUUUAAAUUUUUCUUCCUUUAAUUUUGUGUGCUAAAUAAGGGCAAAGGAGGUGAAAAAUUUACUUCACCUCCUUUCCUCUUGUACUAAACAUAAUCUAACGACGAAGUUACGAGGUUAACAGAGGUGAGGAUUUCUUUGAUUUUUUUUUAAAUAAACUAUAUAUAAAAAAUAUUUAUGCAGUAAAUUAUUUUUUAGAAUAAAAAAAUCAUUAAAUACAAAUAUAUAAAGAGAUUCAUUAUCGCUAAACAUCCAUAUGAAUUGUACCGAGAAGUAUAAAUAAGAAACGAUAUUAUUAUAUUCUUCUUUUAAUUAUUUAUUGAAUGAUCUUAUGCAACAUCUUUUCACCCACAAAAAUCUUCGAGUUUUUAACAAUAGCAUAAUAGCUUUGACUUAACUUUUAUUAUGUCAAUCAAUGAUAUAGUUUUAAAUAGUAUAAUGCUUUGCAAUUCAAAAUGUUUUUAAUUCAAAAACUUCAAUUCAUAUCUUAAAUAUAUUUUAUUCUAUAAAAUAUAUAGAUAAAAAAUAAAUUAAGCAUACAAUUACCAUUAACAAUUUUUUCAACUAAUAUUUAUAAAAAAUAAUUUAGAGAAUACCAGUUUAAAUUUCACAAGUUUUAGGUACUUAAAAUUUAUAUGUUGUUAAUUUAGGACUGUGAGAUUAGUAAGAUACAUAUAAAUUAAACUGAUAUUUAUAUUAAUAAAAAAAAUAUAUUUAUAAGCGGGGCGGCUCCACCACAAGUGUUAAUAAGCUAUUAAUUUUUAUGUCCUCACUUUAUAGUAGUUCGUCUAGAUUAAAUGUUAGAACAAUUUUUUUUUGUUAUCAAUCGAUCAUCACUUUUCCUUGUCAAUAGACCAAAUGUGGAAAUCACAUGUUCCUUUGUACAUGCAGAGGACUGUACGUAACCCUAGAGGUAGCUUAAUAGUUUGUGUUUUGAGUUUGUGUUCUAAUAAUUAUAAGUUUGAGUUUUUUUAGAAUUAAUAACGGUUUAUAUAGUUAUUAAUCUCAAAGCUCGUAAAAUUAAUUAAAGUAAACACAAAUUAGCGUAAAUAAAAAAAAUUAGAAAAGAGAGAAAAUUAAGAGGGUUAACAAUAAUUUGGAUUUCCAUGCUUAUCCAUUACAAGCUUGAUUGUAAGCGGGGCUGGCUAGAUUUUUUAUUUUUAUUUAAAAUAUUUUUUGUAUUUUAAAAUUAUUUUAAUAUAUUAAUUUUUAAAAACUAACUAUUACUAUAAUACCAAAAGCUAUGUAUGUAUAUAUAUAUAUAUUAUAUAUGAAGAAACUAAAUAAAGCAAUGUUUGAAAUGACCAUAAAUUUGUCGUUUUAGGCACAGCGAUUUCGAGACGAAAGGAAGUGGGUAGGCAAGCAACAUCAAUUUGAUCCGACUGGGAGUUCCACUUAUUGUGGAAAAUCUUUAAGGACUUGUGCGCUUAGAGACAAGUGAUGCAGAUACAGGCAACGAUCUUAUCGUGUUUAGCCAAAAAGGAGACAUUCUUUGUGGUCUGGAUAAUUUGCUCACACAAUCACUCUCCAUUUAUAAAAUUCCAGCUGAUUAAAGCUUGCUCGCUAGUGGAUCGGGAUUUUUAUUUUUAUUUUUAUUUUUUUACACGGUAGGAGAAAGCUUCAAAUUUCUAAGCCUGAAAUCUCUUUAAUUUUGAAAUCUUCAAGUUUAGCCAAUGGGCUGCUGUCGUCCACACAAACGUGUCAGGGUUUUGUGCCCUUUAAGUCCAAUAUCCGCUUAAUGGGCGGGAUGGGUUUGAUCAGAGCUAUGUUUUGAGGCUGAGUAUUGGGCUUCAGGUGGAGUUGUAAAAAUGGGCUUAGCCCAAGAUAUAUAAACGGUAGAAACGUUCAGAUUUUUUCUUCUUUAUUCGCAACACUGGAUAUGCACACUUCAAACCGGAAAAACAUAAAGCCAGAGUGAGCAUGGACAGAGAUCGAUUCAAACGACGGUCCAUGUUUCAAACUGCAAAUUUAAGUACAAUUCUCAUAAUUCACCGUUUCUAAUUUACAUUUUUAAAUUAUUUUUUUCAUUUUAAGAAGGUUUAACACGGAUUGAGACCAUAUUAUUCAUUGCAUUGACUCGUAUCCAAAAGCUCCCAUCAAAAGCAAAAUUAGCAGGUGGUGUUGAAUUCAACCAGGUAAAGGCAGCAGCUGCAAGAACUGGUGCUUCACAGGCUUGCAUCCUCAAAGGGCUGCAGUGCCAUGCCACUAACCGGUUAUUCACACAUCCCGAUCCAGCCAAUCUACCAAAACUGCUUUCCUAAAACGCAAGUGCUAUCACGCAUGAAUUGCAGAGCCCUUGCAGUGCCAACACAUCCUGUGCAAGAAGCACGGUAGCUUGUAAUAAGCAAAAUAUUACAACUUCAAAACAAAAAACCACCUUAUUUCCCCAUUCUUGCAGAAUAAUGAAUAGACUGUUUUUCAUCUCGUGAAGCAAGAGUUUGUAACCAAUCGAACUAAGAGCUGGAUGUCGCAACUCUGACUCAUUACAAAAUGAAUGGGGGAGAGACGAGAGGAGGAAGGUAAAGAACACAACUUAGGGUCCGCGAGCAGGGGUCAAACAGAAACAGGCAGAUGCCUGGUCUUCAGGUAUCAUCCCUCCUCCCUUGCUUGUAUCAACCGCUUCUAACAUUUUCACCACCUCAGCCAUUUCAGGACGUUUUUCUGCAUUUCCAUCCCAGCAUUUUCGCAUGACAUUUGCAAAAGAACUUGGACAACAUCUUGGAAUCUCUGGCCGUAAAUUCUGCCAAUGAAAUCAUGAAGCAUGAAUUUCCCAAUAUUUGAUGACCUUUGGCAGGAUGCUAGAUCUUAAGACCUCGAACAAAGUUUUAGCAAGAGAACAAAAUGUUUUCAUAAAAAGAUAUCAAUUCUCUCGAGAGCUUUACAGCUAACUAAGCUCAGCCUUUUCCUCCCUUGCUUGUAAAAACCAAUAAAGGCAUUUGAAAGCAUUACGAGGGAUAUCCAGUGAUGUCAAUUCCAUAUUGCCACUUUGCUAAAAGUAGCUGGGAUGCAUCAAUGCUGUACAAUAAAUUAGAUAGAAGGCCAUAUGAAUCACUGAGUUUGAAAGAAGAAAUGGACCUGAGUCAUUCAUGAACUGCUGACAAUGGCUCCCUCACUUGCGAGAUGCCAAAUCACAUGUCAUGUGGAUAACAAUAUGGUCACAAAAUUCUUUCCUAAAUCCAUUAAUUAUGAACGGUGAUAACAAUUACUUUGAGCCUCCUCAGGUCACCAUACAACCAAAAGAAAGAAAGAAAAGCACGAACAAGAAAGAUAAGAAGAAGAACUAGGCAUGAGGGCUUGCUUAAAUUACAAAACUAACCUGUCGAACAACAGCAGAGGAGACAUCAGCGAAGCUAAGAUUAGGGUAAGGCAUGUCACAACAAUAUAUUUCCCAUAAGCAGAUGCCAAAGCUGUAGACAUCACAUCUUCUGUUAUACGGUUUGCCAUCAAGAACCUGCAUAAAGUAUCAGGUUAGAUAGUUGCAAUUAAAUAACAAUUCAAAUAUGCAAAUUCAAUUGCAUCCCGUGUCCAUAUGGUUAUAAAUUUAUAAUUAACAGAAAAAACACGCCCUCACAGAUUCCAUAUUGAACAUGGCACAAGGAUUGAUUUUAUCAUCAUUACACAUCAUUUAUAUGCAUUUCUGGACUUGUUUAUAUAACCAAUCACUUGUUAAUAUACAAAAUUUUCUUCAUAAACCACUUCUGCCUAGGGAAGAAAAGGUUUUGUUAAAGCAUGAAAUACCUCUGGGGCCAUGUAUCCAAGUGUGCCAGUCUCACCAGUCAUCUCACAUGGAUUCUGAGCUUCAACACGGGCAACACCAAAAUCAGCAAUUUUGAGAUUUCUAUGAGAAUCUAGUAACAUGUUUUCAGUCUUGACAUCACGAUGUACAAUCUUCUUUGAAUGUAGAUAGCUAAGACUGCAAAUUAGUAAAACUAGUCUGUAAUUUCAUUUUUUAGGGAAUUUUUCAAUAAAAGAAAAUUAACAAAAACUAAAACUCACCCCUAGAGAGAUCCAAAGCAAGUUGGAUCACAACCUUAAAAGCAAGUUUUUUUCGACUAUUUCUUAUCAAGUAGUUUUUAAGCGUCCCACCAGGGAGAUACUCAACAACAACACAGCAUGCCCUAGCAGGAAGGGAGAUGUAACCAUCAGAUGGGUUUUUGGCAGGAAUUUUCAGGUUAGAAGUUCCCAUUGAUGCUCCAACAAACUGUUAAAAAAAUAAAGCAUCAGAAAUAAAAAUAACACAAAUGAUAAGCUUAUGGUAACAACUAGAAUGACUGGGAGGAUGAUCCUUCAAGCAUAUGGUUUCAACUCAAAAAUCUUGCUCAAGUAGAAAAGCAUUUUUCCCGUUGAUGUAUGUCAAAAUUUACAUAUAGUUUAUGAAUUCCAUGCACUAUGAUAAGAUACAGAAAUAUAACUAUGUUUAAAGCAAAGUGUCAAGAAAACCAUGCUUGCCAAGAGGAACCUGUAAUGCAAUUACUGGCAAGGUAAUACAAGAUGGACAAUUGCAUGACCCAAAAAAGCCAACUUUCAUGUAACAUGAUGCUCAUAAUAAAAUGAACAUAACAAGUUUAAGAAUGAGUUCGUACUUUUGUAACAUUAGGAUGGUCAAGCUUGUGCCAGACAGCAACCUCUUGCUGAAAUGAUGCCCGCACAGCAGUGGUUUCAGCAGUUGUGGCAAUACCAUCCUCCCCCCAGUCCAACAUUUUCACUAUAACAUCCAACAACAGUUCAGUGAGGAUCAACAUCAACAUGCACAGUGCUGAAUGCUAACAAUCUCUCCAAUUGAAACAGACCGCAGUUUCAUCAAUGCUUAUCAGGAGUUGUAGUGAAAAGAUUUUGCAGGCAUUAGAUAUCAAACAAACCAAUUCAGACAGAGAAUGGCAAAAUUUUCUGAACUUCCAAUGACUUCUUGAGCAAGACAAGGAGAAAUUAGAGAGGCACGUAAACAUCCUAAAAUCAUUGCAUGAUAGUCAAUGAUCAAAAGAUGAUAAAUUUCAAAGGCAUUGCAAAUUUAAUGAUCACAAGCUAAGUUCUUAUAAAGUUAUAAUGGAUAAUCCAAACGAGGAUGUCAGCUUAUGAAAUCCUUUUCUUGCGCCCCCCCUCCCAAACUAAAAGAAGAGAUGCUCCCACCUUCCAAGCCUGAAAUACUAAUGAAGAUGAAUGGUUUGCCUUGUUACUUUUUUCUGUUACCCCCAAUCCAGGCAGGCAGCUUAAAAGGGACGCAUUCAAAAGUAGCAUACAAAAGAAUACGCAAGGGAUAGGGAAAACUGUUUCCUAGGAUUAGCGAUAAAAUGACAAGGCAACAAAGGAAAUCCAUUUCAAUAUGUCGUUGCGAAUACAAUGCCUGGCAAAACUUUAUAUUCAUUUCCACAUAUAUGCAACAAAAUUUAGACCAUGUUAAUAAGCAGCAGUAUAAAGGCAACUCGUAACAAAGAUUUGGAGGACAGGCAAAACACAAUAUCCUUAUUUACUCUCUAGCAUGACCUUUACAGAAACAGAAACCAAACAAAAUUAAGAACUCUGAAUAUCAAAACACUAAGAACCAUCACGUAAGCAUGAAAAGACACGGAAAUACAAAAUGAGCGCUGGGAAACAGAGAUCAAUGACCUGCAACAUCUUGGUUAUCAUAAGUCCCACGAUACACGGUCCCAAAAGUACCACGGGCUACCUCGUGCCUUAUUUCCAAUUUAGACGAAUCAAUUUCCCACUCUUCUUUAGGCCUUUGGAUUUCGGUGUUCCUUGACCAGACCCUGCUCAAGUGCUUCUCAAGCUGUGCAUCCAAGCUUUUGAGAUCGAUUUUAUCAGCUCGAAAAAACAUAUCUUUGCUACUCACACCUCCUAUACCUUUCACCUUUGAAUUGGCACUACCUUCCUGGCUAUCCGGUUUCUUCUCUGGCAUGACAUCACCGGCAUCACCGCUUGUUUUUGAAUCCAUUGUAAAGAACCAAAUACAAGACAAUAGCCGUGAAUCCCAGAGACAACCUUAAAUUCUAGACGACAAUCCUAGAAAAGUAAAACAAAAAAACUUCAAUUUUUCAUCAUCAUACUCAUUGCCUUCGAAUUCCCAUGAACUGAUCAAGAUUUUAAGAUCAAAAAGGGAAAAGUUUCAAAAUUCUUAUGCAAUUACAAAUUAAAUGUGCAAAACAAACCCCUCCUAAGAUCAAAUUACUAAUCAAAGAUAGCAAUGAAAAGUUUUGAUCAAGUAGAAACCCAGUUUCACCAACCCAAAAUCCUAUUCAAGUUCCCUCCAAUAUUGACCUUAUAACCAAAAAAUUUCACUAUUUUGUAAAUAGAUUGCCUACCAAUCAGAAUUGAGAAUAAAAACUCUUUGUUAAUGAAUUGACCCUUACAUUGGUUCAAAAACUAAAUUUCCCAUCAUCGACUGUAUUUAUGUUUAUUUCCCGUAUCCGAACGAAACAAAACUGCGAACAAAAACAAAAGGUAAACCCUAAGAAAACGACCCAAUUCCCACCAUUAUCUAAACAAAGCCCAAUAAAAUAAGAAUGACCCAGAAUUCAAAAACUAGCAAAAUUUCGAAAAAUCAAAGCUUUAUGUACAAUAAAAUAAUAAUAAUAAUAAAAAACCAGCACGCAUGCAAGCAAGCAAAACCUAUAAACCGAAAAAAAAAAAUUAACCAAAAAAUGUCAAAGAAAGGGCAAUAAAGUUGACUUUGAAAUCUCUAGAAAGGGAUACGAAGAGCAAGGAUAGAGUCGGUCAAGGCUCAAUGAUAUCAUAUUCACCAUCAUCAACAUUCCCUUUGUUUUCUUCCACACAAUAUAAAUGGAAGAAGAGAAGAAGGUUUUUUUGUGGAUGGGAUUUCAAAGAAAAUUAUUAGCUUAGAAUAAUCGAACAAAAAAUAAAGCAACUGUUAUUAACCAAAUAGAGUGGAGAAGGCGUGGGAAGCGCCGAGGUUGGCAAAAAUACGGCCUGUUGGAGAGAGAGAGAGUGUGUUUCUAAAUAUAGCAUCGGAAAGUGUGUUUAAAAGAAAAGUAAAUCAAAGUACAAAACCAGUGUACGAAUACCAUGUCCCUGUGCACUCUGGUUUUGAUAUACACGAAAAACAAAUCGGACCAUCCAAGACAUGUUAGUAUAUCUCCAAGGAAACAGGAUCAAGUUAUAAAUAAGUUGGCUAACUUUACGAGUGAUUUGCAACCAUAAUUGUUCAAAUAAUCUUUAGUCCAAAUCGAUUUUGAUUCUAUAUGGGAUGGAAGUUUUCGAUAUGUCGAGUAUUUUUACAUUUUUCAGCGGAUAUACUACUAACUUGUCUUGGAUAUACGAUUAUAGGAAUAUGAAAAGUGAAGGGAUAAGAAAUGAUUUUCAGCCCUUUUUAUCUAGAAAAUCUAAAUCUAUCAUAGUGGAUUUUCGGAGCCACCAAACCACAUCUUAUCAGCAAGGAUAGGAUUUGUGUUUUUUAUACAUCAACUUCAAGAUAAUUGCUGCAAACAUCAUGAUGUUUUUUUAAGAAAAAAGAAAGUAAAACGUAAUAUGAGGAAUUAAUGUAAUGUUUCCAGAUUGAUAAAAUCAAAUUAUUAAAGUAAAAUAGUAAGUAAGAAGUCAAUUAAAACUUUUUACUUGAAUUGUGGCUUUGUACCACUUUGAUUCUGCUCAUUAAUUAUUUUUAAAGUAUUUUAUUUACAAAUAUAUUGAAAUAAUAUUUUUUAACUUUUUAAAUUUACUUUUAAUAACAUUAUAUUAAAAUGAUAAAAAAAUUGAAAUUAAAAAAAUCAAUUUUUUUAAAUACUCUUAAAGACAAAAAUAAACAGGUAAAGCUACUAUGAGCCGUAAAUAUUGAAAUUAGACAGUCACAUGUGAGAUCUUUUGUCACUGUCAAAGUCGAACAGUGAAUAUAUAUCUUAAUUAAUUUAUCGUAAAUUAACACAACAAUUACUAAUAUUCAGCUGGAUUCAUGUCCAGACUCGUCCGUCCUUUAAUUUCAUUGUAAAGACCAAAUAUUGUGGUAUUGCCAUCAACUAAAACAACAGCAAACUAGGGAUGUAUAAUUUAUAACGUUCUGUUAACAAGAGACACGAAUCUCAACAUGAGAAUGCUUGUAAAUAUAUUCUGAGUGGCUGCUUCUGGGCAUUCUGAUGAAGUUCUAUCAUUCCCAGAAGGGAAAACUGUAGACACGGAAUGCUUGGGUUGAGCUUAGAAGUUAAAUAUCUAAUUAUCAUGUCAAGAAAAAACAAUCACGCAUGCAUGCAUAUGUACAAGAACAAACGCCGGGGAGUUUUAACGCAGAUUUGAACUUUGAGUUGUUUCUCUAUCUGUCUUCUUUUCUUGAAGUUAGACGAACCUGGUCUAAAUUAAGCCAGGUAAAGUGAGAGAUUAACGUCCUUGAAGAAUUUAACCANNNNNNNNNNNNNNNNNNNNNNNNNNNNNNNNNNNNNNNNNNNNNNNNNNNNNNNNNNNNNNNNNNNNNNNNNNNNNNNNNNNNNNNNNNNNNNNNNNNNNNNNNNNNNNNNNNNNNNNNNNNNNNNNNNNNNNNNNNNNNNNNNNNNNNNNNNNNNNNNNNNNNNNNNNNNNNNNNNNNNNNNNNNNNNNNNNNNNNNNNNNNNNNNNNNNNNNNNNNNNNNNNNNNNNNNNNNNNNNNNNNNNNNNNNNNNNNNNNNNNNNNNNNNNNNNNNNNNNNNNNNNNNNNNNNNNNNNNNNNNNNNNNNNNNNNNNNNNNNNNNNNNNNNNNNNNNNNNNNNNNNNNNNNNNNNNNNNNNNNNNNNNNNNNNNNNNNNNNNNNNNNNNNNNNNNNNNNNNNNNNNNNNNNNNNNNNNNNNNNNNNNNNNNNNNNNNNNNNNNNNNNNNNNNNNNNNNNNNNNNNNNNNNNNNNNNNNNNNNNNNNNNNNNNNNNNNNNNNNGUUGAAAGUUUCGAGAGGUGUCUUCAGUUUACGCAGCCAGCAUCCUUUAAUUGUGCAUAUCAGGCAACAAAUUCAGACAAUCUCAAUUGGAAAAAAAGAAUAAAAACAAUGAGAUUUGUGGCAGUGGAUCUGUUAGGGAAGCGAGUGUAGCAAUUAGGUUUUGAAGCGUAAUGAUCAUUGUUUUUAAGAUAUUAAUUUUUUAUUAUUAUUAUAUUUGUUGUAGAGUUAAAAGUUAUACACAUCCAUGGUAUAGCACUAUAGCUAAGUCUUAAAACUCGUAAAGAAUAACUUCUAUAAAUUUUUUAAAAAAGUUUUAUUUUGUUUUCGAUGAACAUAAACAAAAAUUUUGUAAAGAAAAAUAGGUUGAGAAGAAUAUUAUUUUUUAAUUGAUUUAUGUCAAUAUCAAACUGAUAUUAUAAAAAAAAUAAUACAUUUUCAAACUAAUGUUUUUGUAGAAAUUUAAAGGCAUGCAUAGUGUCUAUAGAAUUUAAUUUAAAUGGCACACUUAGACCAAUAUAUAUAUAUAUAUAUAUAUAUAGAAUUCAGGAUGCAAUUUUUUAAUUAAACUAAAAAAAAUAACAUGACAAUAGGUAUCAUGCAUGAUUAAUUAAUUAAUUUUAAAAAUAAAAAUUAUUGAUUUGGAAUUUCUUUCCUUCCUAGUGUAGGAUAGAAUUCUUAAUUUUAUUUAUGUAACAUUCAAACUAUUAUAACAGUGGAGUUAUGCUUGAGCCUACAGAAUGAAAUUAUGGAUCGGAUUUUUGAAUGAGCAUGGAAUUUGCUAAGAUCACAUGCAUGUUCAUAAUAGUUUGAAUAUUAGAUAAAUAAAAAGAAUUCUAAGCCACGGUUAUUACCAUGCCAAUUAAACUAGUAAUUAUGAUAGAGCUUUGCCUGUGUUGAAUUCAAAGCCAUUCAUUCCAUGUGCCAUUUAUUUAAUGUCAAGUGUUAAUAAAAAUAUAUUAUGAUUGUUGCUAAAAUCAAGACAAAUAUCUCAUAAUAUAUAUAACAACGACACUUAAUAUAAGAGUCGUUAUAAAGUAUAUAUAUUAAAACAUUUAUUUUAGUAAGUUUCUUAGACAAAUUUCAUUGAGAGUUAAUUUUAUUGCAGUGGGGUCUUGUGUUGAAAGUUUCAAACAUGGCCAAAUUAAAGAGAAUUGAAGGGCAGGUCUUUCUGUUUUUUUCAAAAUAUUUUUUGAAUUAUUUUCAUUUAUAUAUUAAAUUAAUAUUUUUUAAAGUAUUUUUUAUGACUUUGAUGUUUCAAUAUUAAAAAUAAAAUAAAUUUUAAUUUUAAUUUUAAUAUAUUUUUAAUUACAAAAAUAUACAUAAACUAUAUCACAUUAUACACAGCUCAUACAGAGAGAAUAGAUUAGACUUUUAUAUGGGUUAUGUUGAGACUAUUUAGUAUUGUGGUAGUAAUUUUUAUUUAAAAAAUAUAUUUUUUAAUUUUUAUUAAUUAAUAAUAUUUGAUCUAAAAAUAAUAUAAAAAUAUUUUUCAAUCACAGAAACAAAAAUGAAAUUGGUCCUGAAGCUUCAGAUUUUCAAUUGGAGUUCUCCUAUUCCUGGAUCUUGAUAGACUUUAUCAACGUUUGUUCACGGGCUUUACUCCAUCAUCUUCAUUGUUGAUUUCGAAAGAUUCAUGUGCCUACAGGUGUGCGUCUUUGUUUUCUGGGUUAACAACAAAAGUGCCUCUUGAUAUAUAUAUAUAUAUAUCCUCGCUAACAAUGCUACUCUUUGCUAGAUUGUUUGGAUCAACUUUAACUUUAAUCUUCUUAUCUGAUAGUUUUGAUAUUGUUGCUUUUUCGUUCAUUUUCUCUUUUGAGAAUAGUUCCUAGAUUCGAUGGCAUGCACAAGAAAUUCUAGCAUGAGAUAAUUACGACAAAAUGAAAUCAGUAAAAAUAAUAACAAGCACGAAUAAGAGAUAUUUUAAAAAUAAUUAAGUAUUGUUCAUGAUUAUUUAUUUAUUUGUAUAUAUUAUUCUUGAUUUAUUUGAUUAUAUAUAUAUAUAUAAAUUUUUUUAUUUUAACUUGAAUUUUUUAUACUAUAAAAAUGCAUUGAAAAAUCCUGUAUUUAUAUAUUUUUCUAUAAAAAAUAAAAAUAUUUAACCCUUAAAUAAUUGUGAAUUGAAUCGUAUAACUAGCUAGAUAACUUAACCUUGUGUUUAUCUAUUUGACAUAUAAUUAUUUGAAAUACUUUUAAAUGUGAUAAUAUUGAGUAUAAAGCUAAAAUAUAUGAGGUUUAAAGAAAAAAAGAAAAAGAAAUGCGAUGUCAUAAAAAAAAUGUCAAGCGAUAUUCAUAACAAGCCAGACAUGAUUAUUUCUUACAUCUAAAAUGCAUUGCUAGCAAGAAUUCAUUCUUUUUUUUUCUCUAGACCAGAAGGCCAAGAUUUGACAUGUCGUCUACUACUACUACGAGAAAUAAACUUAGGAGUCAAGGUAAAAAAAAUUCUGGAAAGAAGGUUUUUUUUUUUUUUUAAAAAAAAAGGGUUUGAAAUCAACUCCUUAACAACAACAAGCCCAAAUAAAUGAUUCCACGAGAAUCAAACCAUUGCCCGGGUCGGAGGAUUGCAAGAUCAACAGAGGGUCAUGGGCCUGUGUAGUGUUUCCCAUGAGUUUUCUUCAGCAUUCAUAUUUUUCAAGUACAAAAUGAACUCGGGCUCCCAAUUAUUAACAUGGCAGGCAACAGGACACGAGUUUCCCAUGAGUUUAUUCGUAUCAAAAAUGGGCCUAAUGGGUUUUUCAAUUACCAUGAUUGGACUCGUAAGACAGGCCCAAUAGUACAGGACUCCUAGAAGCUGAAGGCAAUGGACAUUUAUUAAAGGAUUCCAAGAACAUUCCAAGUACAUUGAAAUGAAGGUUUCCCUGUUUCAGUUAAAUCUUUUUUAAAGAAAUCAUGCCCCCAUCAAAACUCAAAUUAAUGGCUACCUGACGGUGGCGGACGGAUUCCGAUGAUCCAACUCCACGUCAACAAAUACAGUGUGAAUAUAACUGGCACUUGCAAUCUAAAUUUUGGCGUGAGUGCAUUGUUCAUCACACAUUAUUUCUCUCCUUCGCAAAAAGCCCAUCCAAAUGGAUUUGUAAUUUUACUCCUCCGUAGUUCGUGGAAGCUCACCAGCCUGGACGAACUAAAAGUUAGCACUCUGUUUUUUCAUCCUCGUCCGGUAGCCUUGUCUGUUUGGAGAUCAGGAAAGUUCCUUCAGCAAGAUAUCAAGGAAAGAUCCAAAAUCCUGACUAAACCACACAGCUAAAACAUUAAUUAAUAAAGCCAGUCGCCAGAAAAAGUUUCUAGCAAAGCCCGCCCCACGACAAGAUACAAAUGUUUUGAGGAGCUGGCCGUCUAUAUAUAUAUAUAUUUUUUAGUAAGCUGUAGUCACUAGUAAGACACUGCCUCUCAUGAUUACUGUACCCGUGACUUUUCUUAUGGUCGCUUGCAACUGCAAGAGCAUCCCAAAUUAAACAAUUAAAGUCUUGAGUAGUUGGUCAACUAAACUUUUGUUUAAUUCACAGUCUGACAUUCAAGAAAGGUCUUAAAAACCACAGGCCAUCUUCUUAGUUUAUACAUAAUUACUAUAAAAUUGCUUAACUUGGAGAUUAAAAUAUAUAAAACAUGUGUAGCGUAGUACUCGCCACUAUCUUCCACUGAUUUUCUUUCCUGCUACGUGUGUUACUUAGGCGUUAAUCUCAAUGUUAGCAAUACUGUCAAUAUUGCAGAGUCUGAUAACUAUGUGAAAACAAAGCUGUUCUUUCCCGCAAGAACAAUAGAACAUGCUAUAAACUAUAAAGUACGCAUGUUAGUCGACACUAUGAUUUUUGGCAUGGAGUUCAUGUUCCAGAGAAUGUGGGGAGUUGGGAAAGAACAAAUAAUUAAUGGACUCCUAUCCAUAUUUAUCAUUAUCUCAUGAGCUGCUUGCUUUAAUUUGCCUGAGCCUGUGUUAGGUCUGGGCUUUCAUACAAGGAUGGGGUCUCACGUGAAACACCGAUCUUCAUCCUUGAGGGACCACAAGCACCCUCCCUCUUUAAGGACCCUCCCCCAUUGUUACUGCUACACACCCAACUCUGGGAAAGUGAACGGCUUCUGUUAGAUGAACUUAAGAUCAUAGAGGCUCAGGUAGUUUACUGGCUUUUCAAUGCGCAGCUUAACUCAUCCACCAUGUUGAAGGGGCGUAAAUAUGAGUGGGUGAUCGAGAAACGAGGGUUUUAAAACUUUGAUGUGAAGGGCCAACGAACACUAUAACUAACGUCCUCUGUAGAUGUUUUCUUGCUCCCAGUGCACAAACCAUGGAGUGAUCAGGGUUCGUUCUUGGUUUGAUUUGAAAAUAAGAAGCAACAUAUAUAUAUGAUUGAAUUGACGUUAAUUUUUUUUUUUCAUGUCCGAAUCUAUAUUACACUAAAACUAUGAUUAGAGUUUAUGUUUUUUUAUUUUUUUUCUUUCAAAGAAUAUAUGAUUCGAACCAAAUUCAUUUGGGACGAAGAAAAUAGUAAUGUUAAUAUAAUUACAAUGAAUUAUUAACCAUCCAUGCAUUUUAAAUUAUAAUAAAAAAGUUUUAAUAGUUUCUUUUAAGAGUUAUUUAGAAGUGUAGUAGUAAUUAUUUUUUAAAAUAAUUUUAAAAAAUAUAUAUAUUAAAAGAUAUAUUUUUUAUUUUUUAAAAUAUUUUUGAAAUUGACAUAUUAAAAUACUUUAAAAUAAUAAAAUAUAUAUAUAUUUUUUUAAAAAAAUACCAUUUGGCAGCCCUUAAUUGGAGAGGGUCCAUUGACUGUUAUCGGUAGAAAACUGGUUAAGGUCUAUCACUACUUCUGGUGGACCAGAAACCUACCUGAUAACCUACCUUUUGAAAUGUUUGCGCGCCAAUGGCUAAUAUCCCUAGCUGUCACAAUCGUCAGCCACAAUUAUCCUUUUAAUUUAACGGUGUUUAUUGACCAGUAAGGCUACACCUUACAAGCAUCUGGAUUGAUCUUCCUUAUCUAAAAAUAUAGUACUGUCUGUAAUUUAAUUUUCACGCGAACGACCUGAUUAAAUUUUAAAUUUAUAUUUUAUAAAUUUUAAAAAUAUUAAAAAUUUAUAUAAUUAUUAAUUUCAGAAUUUAUAAAAUUAGUUAACAUACAUACAAACUAAUUCAGACAUUUACAUUAUUAAUAAUAAUAAUAAUAAAAAAAAACAGUAACACUAGUAGAUAUUUUGGAUUUGCAACAUUGAAGUAAAAAUCUAAUGGUCACGGGAAGGAUAUGCUCACCCAGUUGACAUUCAUUGCCACCCAUUUUUUCCCAGAUCAAUACGGCAUCGUGACACUUUCAUAUAAUACUUAGAACUAUAUACAUUACCAGAUUAUGGCACAUUGCUGGUAGCACCAGCAUCAGGAGUAUCACGAGCAACAUGUUGACCCUGUAAAUGAUGAGCCAAUGUGGCUUUGGUUCUGUAAAAAAAAAAAAGUUGAAGUGAGCACAAAUUAAUCUGAAGACCUCCCAUUUGUAUGUAUUUUACUAUAAAUCAUUAUAAAUCCUAACUGGUAUUAAUUAGUAUUGUAAACACAUCAAUGUAGGAUUGCAUUCAUAAAUAUUUUUAUUUAAAUAUGAACAAAUUUUAAAAACUAACUUUUUUUUUAUUUGUGUCUCAAAUAAUUAAGAUGAUUUAAUUAAGAAAUUAUGGGCUAAUUUAAUAUAAACUUUCAUUAAGAAAAACACAUGGAUAAAUUGUGAGGGAAUUAGAAUUUCGGAGGGCGGUUGGUUUUUUUAAUGAAAAUCGGUGUAGAAUCAAAUGAAUGUACUUGAGAAAUCAAAGCACGAGAGGGUUACUAUAUCUACUACAAUUCAUGGCAAUAUAUAGUCUUGGUGCCCCACUAAUCAACCCUCCUCCUGAAUCUUUAAACAUUUUGUGCUCGAUCAAUCUCUUCAUCGUCACUAUUAACAUGGGGUUAUGAUGUUUGUAUGAAAUGUUUACACGAAAUCAUUGACAAUAUCAUCUUGUCUUGUCAAAGAAACAUAUCAAUUUAAUAAUAAAUUAAACUAUUGUUUCGACUGAAAACAACCUCCACCCAGCUCAUCCUAGUCGCGAUCCUCUCUCCAGCUCAAGAGUUUCCUUUUUCGCACACUAAAUACUACGCGAUACAAGUAGUGGAAUCUAGGUUUUACAAAUCAUAUGUUAUUACUUACAAAGCUUGCAACUAAAACCCACUAUAUAUAUAUAUAUAAUAACUACAGCUGCAACUCAAUAUAUUUAAAAGUAUAAUAGUGAUUGUUUUUUAAAGUAUUUUUUAUUUAAAAAUAUAUCAAAAUAAUUUUUCACAUUAAUGUAUUAAAAUAAAAAUUUGACAAUCAAUCCAACAAUAUUUUAUAUUAUUAAAAUAAUUAAAUUAUAAAAAACAGAAAAAAAAACUAUUUUAAACACAUCUCCGAAUAACAAUCUUCAAAAAAUAAGAAUUUUAAUUUCGGGUCAUAGAUUAAAAAACACAACAAUUAUUUGAUUUUAUUAAUUCGAUAAUUAAAAAAUAGCCAUGGAAACUCCAAUAUCAGUACCAUCACAGACAUAAAUGUCACGAUCUUUUGUUUCAAACAGCUGUCAUGAAUUUUUAUAAUUUAAUCUCUUUUGCGAUGAUCUUGGGAUAAAGGUUUUUAUGAUCUCAAUUAUUGACGAAUAUCCGACCAAUAAUGGCAUCGUAACGGGGUAAUAAAAAGCUGUAUCUGUACAUAACUUGCUUCGUUUUAAAUUCAAAUAUCACAUUUUCUUUACGGUUUUUACGGUGACAUAAUUAUUCUCUGAAAAGUUUUUUUAAAAAGGACGAUCCAAAGUUAUAUUUGAUUAUAGAGUUUUGCACGUAACUAGAAAAUAGAAAUGGUCGAAGCAUGCAGUCAACUGUGUCGGAAUUAUGCAAGCAUGCACAUAAGAAAAACAUAAUUUAGACAGCUGUUCAUCAUGUAUUUACGAAGCUAGACAUUUGUUCAUAUACAUGUAUAAAUUAAUGCUCUCGAAAAAAUAAAUCACUCUUCGGAAAGGCAAGGGAUUCCUUAGAGCACUCGUCAAUUAAAUUCGAAGGUGGAGGUGUGUAUUGUUUUUAAAAACCGACAGAAACAUCAAGCCCUGAAUGGCAUGCAUGACAUUGUCCGAGAGACAGGCUUGCACCUCUUGGCAUUCCGGGGAGCUUGCGUUUGUUGGCAUUCCGGGGCUCUAUACAAGGAUACGAGGGGGUUACUAUCUAUAAUUUGAUGUCUGCCAUUUUUAUUUUAUUUUUUUGGCUUCGAAUAAUUAGAGUCCUGAUAUUGUAGAUUUCUGUACUUGACAAUUUCCUCACCUUCAUCAACACAGAAUUAUGUUUUUUAUUUGGAAUGUUUGCACGGGAUGGUUGGCAUCACUAAUUUAUACGGUAUCUUCAAUAUUUGUUAUUGUUUUAACUAAAACCAAUCUCCUACCACUCUCACUUGUCAAAUGCGUUUGUUGUUAUUUCUAGAGUGGGGAAGAAUUUGGCUUUUUUCUCUGCUAGAUUAAAUAUAUUAAAAAGUGAUGAAUAAAGAUUUUAUCGGUAUGCCUAAUAUAUCUAAUGAGUUAAUAAUUUUUUUGUUAUAUGUUUUCACUAAUAGAAAAUAUCUUAAGAAUAAAAUGAGUGUACCAAAUAUGUUAAAUUUAAAGUAUUUAGAUUUAACACUUAACUUGUUAAUAUGAGCUUGAUAUACAUUUUAGUCUAGUUGAUCUUUCAUUUCAGAGGUAAUGAUUCCUUUAUGUACAUAGAUGUGCUUAAGAUCUUUUAAGGGAUUCUUCAUUCUUGUCAUCUCAUUAAUGAUAUGUAAGAAAUAUUUGUCUCUCGUUAAAGUUAUGAACAAAAAACUUUUCAAUUCUUCUUUUUCCUGAAAACAACAAAGUUUGGGUGUCAUGAAAAUCGCCUGAACCAUAUAGAAAAAAUAUUUAUAAUCUUCAUUCUCUAAGACAUACAUACCCGAGAUUAUAUUUUUGUAUAAUAUUAUUGUAUUUUUUUCUUUACAAAGAUACUUAUCUGAGUAUCUAAGAGUUCCAACACCCACCAAUUAGAAUUUUUUGCAAGUAUUAGCUACAAGUCAUCUUGACUUAUUAAAUAUCAAGUACAAGUUAUCAAUCAUUUUGGCUAGAAAAAAUAAAUAAAAUUGCUAUGACCAAUUAAUUAAUCUAGAAGCCUUGUUUUUAAAUUAGUUAGAUUUUUUUUUAUCAUCAUGACAAGUUUAACCAUAAACCUGUAUCAUCAAACAUAAACCAAAUAAAUUGGACAACCCAGCUAUUUUUUUUCAACAUCAUUUACUACUGGGUUUUAAAAAAUCCAUAAAAUAAUUUACCUGUUAAUUACUAUUAAGUUUUAUUUAUGAAAAAUUUGAAAUGUAUGUUUUUCAUGUUGAAUUCAUGUAUUUAAGAAAAUAAACUCUAUUUAAGAAAAUAAACUCUAUUACAUGAUGAAUUAAAGGUUCGAAUGAUUAUUUCCAAAUUCUUAUUUUAAAAAAUUAGACAAGGCAGAUACUCACAAAUUCCAAAUCUAGGCCACAUAAAAAAAAGGAGAAAAAAAUAUAAUACCUAAUGCAAAAUUACUUUAUGUUAUUUAAAUAAUCAAGUAAAAAAAUAAAAUAAACGAGGCUGUUUUUAAAUAGCAAUAUAAACAAAAAAGAGAGAAUUCCAAGUUGAAAUGAAUAAAAACCAACUAUAUAAAUGUCAAUCGUGCAAUUCGAUAAGGAUACACCGAUAUCAAUAUUACAGGCAACUUUCUUCUUUUUUCUUAAUUAUAAAAUAACUGUCAUGUAUUAAUUUAUCAUUUAUUAUUUUCUUGGAUGGUAUUGGAAAAAAUGUUUUUAUCAUCUCAGUCACCGAUGAAUCUGACUAGUAACGGCAUCAUAACGGGGCUAAUAAAAACCUUUAGCUGUACGUAUCUUACCAAUUAUAUAUAUGCAGAUUUCAUGUUUUUUUCUUGUUGUUGCUUAAAAAAUGACCCAAUUGUUGUUAUUAUUAUUAGUAUUAAUAGGAUCCUAUACUUUAUCUACAUAUCAUUAUAAAAUAGAAAUGACCUAAGACAAUUAGCCUUGGUUGCGAUUUGAUUUCUUACCAUGUGUAUCUGUUUUUACCGAUAUCACCACAUUAAUAUUAAUAUGAUAUACAAAUAUAUAUAAAAAUUAAUUUUAAAUAAAAUAAUUUAAUUUUAAAAAAAUACAAUUUAGAAUGCAAUUCUAUACCAAAAAGCAAGCAUGUACAUGGAAGACAGAAAUUAGACAGUGAUUCCUAUAUGGUUAAAUUCACUUGUAAAUUCAAAAAUUUUCAAUAUAAAUUUUAAGAGGUGUAAUUUAACUAGUCAGGUUUUAAAUUUACUUUUUAAAAAUUAUUGGUUAAAGUCUCACAUAUCUUAAAAUCACUAGAAAUUUAUAUAAUUAUUAAUUUUAAAACCUGUAAAAUUAGUCGAAAUAUGUUAAGUUGAUUCAAAUAUACAUAUUAAUAAUAAUAAAAUAAUAAUAAAAAGCCACAUGUAAAUUCAUGAAUAGGCAAUCAAUUUCAUUAUAUUCGAAAAAUAAUUACUCCGCAAAAACAGUAUUAGUCAAUAGCAGUAGACCCCAAGUAAAAACAACUUUAAUAAUUUUCAAUAGAAAAACGGAAAAAGAGAAAUCUCUUACAACAGUAAAGAGAGAGGAUACGUUACUUUUUUAAAAGUAAAAGGUAAAUCACUCCUCCGUCAGAUUCUAGAGGGAUUUAUUUAUUUAUUUAUUUAUUAAAAACAGAGACAGAGACAGUGACACACAGCCAAGUACCUGAAAUAGGAUAGGAAGACAGUUGUUGGCACUGUGGGGCUGGCUAUUAUCUAUGGUGGUGGGUUGUGAGAGUUGAGAGAGUGUGCUGGGUAGAGCCUAGAGGUGAGGUGAAGGUGGUCAAUAAAAAGUUAUCUCUACGAGAAAAAUCCACUCUCUCCCACUUUCCCGCUCCUUCUCUUGAAUCUUUUUCUUUCUUUAUCCCCUUCUUUCUAGACAAAAACAAGAGAAGAAAAGAAAACAAACGAAGUGAUGGAGAGCCAAUGGAGAGAACCGAAACCAAAACAAAACGGUAGUUGUUGCCUGUCGGUGUAAAUUCUUCUCUUCUCUUCUCUCCUUAGCUAUGCGGAGCAGCUUCUUCUCUGGCAAUGGAUACCCCAGAGAAGACCCAGAUCACCUCUCCUCUUUCUAAGUUCGAGGUAAUUCCUUGCCUCUCUUAUUCUGAUCUCUCCGACCCCUUUGCAUUCGUGAAUCGUGUUUUUGGUCUUUUUGAUUCAAUGCAUGUGCUUGGGUUUGGUGUCUUAGUGGGUUGACUUGCCUGUGUUUUAUCAGAAAAGACUCACCUGGGUUUUUCUGGGACCAGAGUCCUGUCUUGUUAGUUUUCUCUGUCUGGAUUUUGAGUUUCAUGUGGUUUACAUCUCUAAUUUAGGUUCAAUCUUUACAAUUUGGUUCUUCCUCGUGUUACCUUCAUGUCGCUUGAAAUGCUAUGAACUGCGAAGAAGCAUUUCAAUCUUGAGAUCUUAAUUUACUGUCAUUUUCGUGAAAGAAAUAAAAAAUUUCUCCUGAUUUAUUGGGAUCUAUUUGGUGUUUAUAACGACUUUUGUAAAAUUCUCUCAUUUUAUUUUUUAUUUUUAUGGUCAGUGUAAGAAGGAUACUGUAUUUUUUUUUUUAUCUAUCAGUAAUAGUAACCCUUCUGUCUGAACGAAUUUACUUAAUUUGAUUCUAGAUCAGUAAUUUGGGAUCUUGUAUUCGUUCCAUCUGGUUGCUUCUUUGUUCAAUGAUUGACAUGGAUUUUUGCUUCUGGGUGCAGGAUUCACCUGUUUUUAGCUAUAUCAAUAGCCUUUCUCCUAUCAAGCCAGUGAAGUCCAUAAACAUCGCCCAUACAUUCCACUCGCUUAGUUUUGCAUCCCUUCCGUCCGUCUUUACUUCGCCCCAUGUCAACUCUCACAAGGAAACUAGGUUCCUUAAGAGGUAAAUGACUUGCUUUCUUGACCAUCCUCCGGUCUGGACUACAAUAAAAGCAUAUAUACUUUUGUUCAACUUCACUCUUCUGUUUUCAGGCAUAACUAUGCUGAUCUCUCAAAACCAGAGUUUUCUUCUGAAAAUGGGAAUGAGGCUUGUAAUGAUGAAAGGGUAGCUGUGGAUGCGGCUCAGCUUUAUGAUAAUUCGUCUGAGCUACAGGAGAGUUUUGAUCCUGGGGUGUCCAUUAGAGAGGCCUCAGUUGAACCUCCUAGUGAACAUUUGAAGCUCGCAAUUGAACUGCCACGGACGUUAAACUAUGAUUGUGGUACCCCUGAUAGUGACCAAACACCUCGUUGUGGUACUCAGACAGGUACCGUGUCCAAAUCUGAUGGCACAAUGGCGUCACUUGUUCCAUUUACUGAUGUGGCUUCUCAUAAAGAUUCCUCUGAAGGUCAAGUGCAUUUAGCAGGGUUAUACAAGAUUGAGAGUAAAAAAGAGGCUACAGAAUGUGACUGGGAGAAUUUUAUAUCAGAUUCUGCUGAUCUGUUAAUUUUCAAUUCUCCCAUUGAUGCAGAGGGUUUUAAGGAGCUUUUUCAGAAGUCACCGAACCCUGUUGUUGGAUUUUGCACCUCUUUUAGUGAGGUGCAAAAAAUGCAAACAGUCAAUCCUAUUGGUCCUGGUGAACAAAAUGAGAAGGAAGACCCCUUCACUCAACCUGGGGAAACCAUUGAGCUGACGCAAAUGGACCCAACACAGGACAAUCUUGCUGCUAAUAAGGAUCCAAAUAAAUACAUAAUCAGCAAUCCUUCUAAGGUAAAAAGAUGCAGCUCAUAUCUGUUGCCGAUAUCUGCUGCAUAAUUUGCAUCUUUCUAGUUGAUGAAAUAGUUUUGAUUUAUUUGUUUUACACUUAAUUGUUAGUUGUGUCAUGCGAGCAUGAACUCCCUUCUACUUACUAGUAAUUGUUCGUGUUGAUAUACCCAGCAGGAAAAGAAUCAAACUCUUAUAAACAUCUUGAAAGUGAGCACAGCAACCUUUUGUGCUUGCAACUCCCAGGGAAGCUAGGCAGGUGUAAAACAAAUGGGUCAUGCUGCACCAAGCACGGGCAGCCUGUCAGCUACUAUUCCAACCACAACACUACUGUGGAACCUAAAAAGCAUCUCCUGUUUUCUACCUUUAAACUUGUACUAAAAAAGGCCUUCCCAACCCAUAUUCAAUUUUAUGUUUACAUGUUCCACUAAUCAAAAUUUUGUGGAACAUAAAAUAUAACCAUGCAGAUAUAGAAUUGGCAAACCAAAAUUUUGUGCCAUUAAUCAAUCUGCAAUGGAUAAACUUGUACCAAGAUUUGAUUUGUAUUUCUUAUGGUGGCAUGAUUUCCUUAAUAUGCAGCAUCAAUUCCGUUGCAUUUCAAUUCCUAAAUAUAAACACUCUGUUCAAAGUUUUCAUGCUCUUUAAGAUUGACCCCCUUGUAAUUUUGAAGAUUUGUAUUUUACUUGACCAAAAUUGUUUUCUUCUUGUUCUCCAAUUCAUAACUUUUGAGGAACUCAAUGACUUUUCUGACAACAGUCCAAUUAUUUUAUGAUCCUGUAGGCUGUUUCUAAUUUGCAUCGUGGCAUGCGAAGGCGCUGUCUUGACUUUGAAAUGGUAGGAGCCCGUAGGAAGAACAUAGAAGAUGGUUCAAGCUCUAGUUCAGUGGGGGUGCAGUCAGAUGAGAAAAUUACUUACAAAAAUACACAAUUGGUGCCUUUUAAGCCCAGCAGUGAUUCUUCAAGAUGCAUUUUACCUGGAAUUGGUCUGCACCUAAAUGCUUUGGCAAUAAAUUCCAGGGAUAGCAAAAAAAUCAAGCAUGAAACUUUCUCUUCCUCCAUUACUUUGCCUGGUUCUGCUGCCUCCUUUCACUCCCCAACAAGUGGUCAAGAGCUUGAUGAAUCAUUGGCCUUAGCGUCUAUGGAAAGAGACAUGGAUCCCAGUGACAAUGUUGUUCCAUUUGUGGAAGAUUUCAGCCAGACUAGCCCAAAAAAGAAGAGGCAUGUUAUUUGACAAUGUGUUUCCUGUACAGUUAUUACCUAAUAACUCUUACACUUAUUAGCAUGUUUAUGCAUCUCUCACGUUUGAAUGUCAUGGAUAUUAAAUUUUAUUUCCAGGCGUAGGCUGGAAGGAGAAGCCGAGGCCUGCAAGCGUUGCAACUGUAAGAAAUCAAAGUGUUUGAAACUGUAAGUAGUUAUCUUCUGAAAUUUAAUUCAAUCAGGGAUGUUGUUUCCAGCUAGUGACCCAAAUAAAUAUAAUCGGAUGUGCUAUUCAAAAAUAGAUCUCUGUGCUUUGGUGUCAUCACAAGCUAUUUUUUAUCCCGUGUUGGGCAAGAUUUAACAGUUAGACUGCUGUUAUAUCUCAUAUGACUUCUCUUAUCUAUGGAAGUAUAUGCAGAAUUAUUUAGGGAAAACGAUCUUUAUCAAUGAAGAUCCCUGUCCUCAAGGGCCCUUACCAUGAACAGGGUCCUUACAUGAACCAGGCUUCAAACUUGGAUCUAAUAGAUCAUCUUAGUUUUCAAUUUGAUUAUAUCCUCCUCUUGUUUAGUAUGCUGGAGGUGAAUGCUUAAGUUUUUUCUUCCCUUCCCUUUCCUCCCUCAUUUAUUUGACUCUUGGCAUGUCUAUACACAUCCUUUAUCUGGUAUCAUAAUGAUCAUAUAUCAAUAUGCACACCAUGCAGGUACUGUGAAUGUUUUGCUGCUGGUGUCUACUGCAUAGAGCCAUGUGCAUGUCAAGAUUGCUUCAACAAGCCUAUUCAUGAAGAUACUGUUCUUGCAACUCGCAAACAGAUAGAGUCUCGCAACCCACUUGCAUUCGCUCCCAAAGUGAUUAGGACAUUUGAACCUGCACCUGAAAUUGGGGUUAGCUCAAAUCUGAUCUUACCUUUUGCUUAGGCAAAAUAGUCAAACUUUUAUUUUAACUUGAAUGCUUCUUCGAUCUAGGAUGAGUCCAGCAAAACACCUGCUUCAGCUCGGCAUAAAAGGGGAUGCAACUGCAAGAAAUCAAGUUGCCUAAAGAAAUACUGUGAAUGCUAUCAGGUAGUUUCCUUGGCAUAUUCUGUGUGCUUUUAAUGUUUAAUAUAAACUGAUUCAUCAAAUCAUGGUUCUUUUGUGAAGGGUGGUGUUGGAUGCUCCCUUAACUGCAGAUGUGAAGGAUGCAAGAAUGCAUUUGGAAGAAAGGAUGGUAAGUUUUACCCAAAAGUUUGCUUUCAUACAGAUUAGCUACUUAGUACACAGGCAACCUUCCUCUAAUCAUGUAGUGGCUUUAAAUGAUCCAAGAAAUAAAUAAACUAACUUCUUAUUUUGGUCUUAUUAAUUCUAAAUAGUUUUGUGCCUUCAAUGACUUUCCAAAUCUAGGAUCUGCUUCAAUGGAAAUGGAAGACGAACAAGAAGAUGAAACAGAGGCAAGUGAAAAGAAUGGGGUUGAUAAAACAUUGCAGAAAGCUGAAAUCCAGAAUAAUGAUGAGCAGCAUCCAAAUUCUGCUCUUCCCACAACACCAUUACGGUUUUCCAGGUUUACUUUCUGAACUAUUUACUGCCUUAAAGGUUGAGUGUUUUUAUUAGAUCUUUAGUGAUGUUUUUGAAAUUUGAUGCCAGACCACUGGUUCAGCUGCCAUAUUCAUCGAAGGGCAAACCGCCAAGAUGUUUUCUUGGCGUUGGAUCAUCUUCUGGAUUGUAUACUGGCCAAAGAUAUGGAAAACCAAAUAUUCUUCGACCUCAAUGGAAGUUUGAGAAGCAAUUCCAAAAUGUUCCAGAAGAUGAAAUUCCUGAGAUCCUUCGAGAAAACCACUCUCCAAGCUCUGGCAUCAAGACUUCUCCCAACAGCAAGAGGGUCUCUCCUCCACAAAGUAACUUAGGAUCAUCCCCUGGUCGGAGGAGUGGUCGGAAGUUGAUACUACAAUCCAUACCCUCAUUCCCUUCUCUCACUCCCCAGCAUUGAAAGGAAAUGUUUCCCAUAAAAGCUCGGAUGAAAUUCUUUUAAACCUUUGUAGCGUUGAGAGGCAUGUUAGUUUAGUUGUAUGUAAUUCGAGUUUUUUCCGCUCUGCUUGUAUAAUAAGAUGCAAUCUAGUAGUCAUAAAAUCCAACUACUCUUGUAUAAUAUUGUACUUCUACCUUUUCUUUUGUUCAUCUUCCUCCAACAAGGUUGAUUUUUAACACUUCAUUAAGCUAUCAAACACCACGAGUAAUAUAGAUGCCAUGCCAGCUAGAUGUUGGCUUGUGACAUGCUUAUAUAGUGUUAUGAGUUUAUGAAAAAAAUAAAAAAAAAAUUAUAUGAAGAAAAACUAUUAAAGGAAAAUAUUAAAAGUUAAAUUCUUAAUUAGUUUAAUAGUAAAAAAAUAAAAUCAACAAAGAAAAUUUUUUAAAAAAUCAUAACAAUAAAAAAAUGAAAAGAAAAAAAACCAUAUAGAAAAAUACUGUAGCAAUUUAUAGUUUCAUGGAAAAAUGUAGUUGCAAUUCUCGCUCAAUAUUAAAAAUAAUAAAAUCAAUAAAGAUAAUUUUUAAAAAAAUCAUAACAAAAAAAAAAUCAUGUGGGGAACACUGUAGCAAUUCACGAUAUUUUUUUUUUAUAAAAAACUAAUCUAAAGUGUUUUAAAGAAAAAAAACUAUAAAGCUAAAUUCUCAACCAGUUUUAUAUUAAAAAAUAAAAUCAACAAAAACAAUUCUAAAAAAAUAAAAAAUGAAAAAAAAAGACAAUUUUGAAAAAAAAAUAGAAAAAGAAACAUGCAGGAAAAGUUAAAGCUAAAUUCUCAACCAACUUUAUAUUAAAAAAAUAAAAUUCAACAAAGAUAAUUUUGAAAAAAAAAAACAUGUGGAGAAACACUAGUAAAACAAAAAUCAUGUAGGGAAAUAUUGUAACAAUCCAUAGUGUUUUAAAGAAAAAAAUUACAAAGCAAAAUUCUCAACAAGCUCAACAUAAAAAAUAAAAUCGACAAAGAUCAUUUUGAAAAACAAAUUCAUAAAAAAAAACUAUGUAGGGAAACAUUAUAGUAAUUCAUAAUGUUUUAAAGAAAAAAACAAUAGAACUAAAUUUUCAACCAAUUUAAUAUUAAAAAAAUCAACAAAGAUAAUUUUGAAAAAAAAAAAAAAAAAACAUGUAAAACCUCAAAAAAAAAUAAUAUGGGAAAAUAUAUAUAUAGAAAAAGCUACAAUACUUAGCCUCACGUUUUAGGAUAUUACAGGAUAUUAGUUAAUAAAGACUGCAAUCUUCCAAGGAGAUUAUUCCCAAGCCUUGAUGCGUCAGGGAAUCAAAAUUCAUAACUUAAAUAGAAUCCACUUCUGCAGCAUUAGCCAUUUAAGCCUGGUGGUUCUGCUCCUCAAAUUUCUUUUGGGCUGGAAUCACCUAGUCUAGCUGGUUGAUCCAGUCAGGUCAGGUUGAUGGGUUUCAAAGGACCAUUCCAUGUGUAUAGACAGGAGAGAUGAACAUAUGCACACGGAGUUGGUCAUUUUCUUUUUCAAAUAAGACCAUUUCUAGUGUUUUACCAAGGCUAGAAGUUGAGCAUUUCUUCUAUCUUUGUUGAAGAUAUUGCACCCCCUGUUUUAUCUUCGAGGGUUUUUUUUUUUGUGUUUUUUUUGGGAGGUGGGGGGAGGCUCCAAGACCUGGAAAGCUCAGCGAAGAAAACAGGAAGCAAGUAAACGAGGGCACGAAGCACAGUUACAAAAUGUAAAAAAGAGGUCCAAUACAGGAAGCACAUGACAAACCGGUCAGUGCAUAGGAGGUUUUGAAGCCUUUGAUAAUUUUUCUCACCUUAUAGUUGGGUUACACAACGGAAGUCGUAAUGCUCUCCUUUGUUUAUCUUUGCGUGGGCAGCAUUGAGUCAAGGCCAAAUGACUCGUCAACUAACCUAGCUGGUAAGUUGAAGAUAGCAAGGAUACCAUUAAACAAAGACCGUGCAGAUGAAAUGAAGACUCGGAACAUGUUGGUGCAGUAUUAAAUUCAGUACUGAAUUUGUAAGCAAUGUGGCGAUGCCUAUCUUGUAAACAAGGCAAGACCACGGUUAGACAUUAACAUCAUGCUCUUGUCAAGUUUGAACUCUUUUACGAUCAAAAAGCAGAGUAAUUCAUCAAGCUAUGGAAGAAUUAGUACAUCCUUCCUAUAGUUAGAGUUCUUGCGAUCUCCUUUAUUGAAAAUUAAGUUGCAGGAAAAAAAAUCUGCUACCUUGACCGCUAACCCGCUUGGGAUGGCUAAGGUACAAGGGUUGGAUAAGAAUCUACCAACUUCUACACCUAAGAAACAAUUCCCUUCUCCCCUGUUUAUGGGUCACCAUCGGAGCUCUCGAGUUCACAACUGCACCAAGCUGGUUAUACUCCCAAUUGGGGUAUAUCUGAUUUUCAUCUAAUAAUUGUACGCCCGAGUUCCUUGUCUUAAAAAAAAUGCCAAAAUACCUGUAUUCAUAUCUAAACCUUCACAAAUACCACCUCGAUGUCUUAGUUUUGGAUCUGUAAGGAAUUAGAUGACUGUUGAGCAUGCUUACUAACCAUUUGCGGAUUUAGGGAAGAGUGGAAUUCGAAACAGGAGCUUUCCUGUCAAAGCAAAGAAAAAAAAUAGUUUUUAAAAACUUCUCAAUUUCAACUCGCUAGGAUGAUAUUGGUGGCCAUUUUGCACGGUGAGACCUUUUAUAUAUGGAAAUUAGAUUGCAUUGGCAUCGUUCAGUUGAAAUUACAAGGGUAAGAAGGCUGGCGAAACAAGUACUACUUUCUAGAUCAGCCUAUUCUCAGGUUAUAUACUAAGCUAACAUGAAUGGCUUCGGUCUAACUUAAUCUCUUAAAAUACACGAAAAUCUGGAAUACUUCAAGAACUGUAGCUAGAAAUAACAACGAGCUUUACUUACAGUGGUUACCUCAUUCUUCAUUAGUUGAAGGUCUUGCACAGCCACAAAAGCAACCCUUCUUCUGCCUUCUGCUGCUUUUCCUGCCACCGCUGUAUAUGAAGUCUCUCAAGAGGAUGCCUGUUUUACUUCCAGAAAAUUUAUGCUUUCUUUUGCUUUUCUUUUCAUCCUCCAGUUUUAGCAGAAUGUAAUGGAUACUCUGCACCUCAAACUGUAACCUUCCUAUCUUUUCAGACCUUUCAUAAAUCAAUCUAUGGCUCCUAUGAUGAGGACCACAGUCAAACAACAAUAUUAUUUGGACUUAAAGCUCUCUUGGUUCGAAAUUAUAAUUGACUGCUCUCUUGAUUUAAGCUCUCGUGUCUGUUGGAAUGUUGCAUUUGUUUUUGCUGCUAGCCCUCAUGAUUGAUGGGCCUCGGACAUUGAUUAGCGACAAAUUCUAUACUAAAUUUCCGAGGAUUAUAUUUAUUGGUUGACGGCGGAUCGUUUGUAGUUGCCGGUUGGGGUAGCGGAUAAACUAGUUCGUCCACAUUCCAAAUGGAAAUGUCUUAUGAUCACCAUCAUCACUCGCCGAGUAGAGCUUUGAUGGUAUUAUUGCCAAUUGGUCCCAACUAGAGAUGAUUAGGGCUUGUUUAAAGGUGUCCUUGUUGUCCCACAUGACUUGGUGUCUGAUUUUACUCUCUUUUCCCUCGAACAUUUCCAGGUGAGCAACGAAUAUACAGCUUGUGUUAGCAUUUGUGCACUUGCAUCUUCAUAAAUCGUGAAUUCUUAAGAUCUUCUGCACAAAAAUUUGGUCUGAAUUAACCCACAAACUGAUUCAAGAAUACUCUUCACCAUCAAGUAAUAAAUCAAUCAAUCAAAAGUUUAAAUUUAGCAAUUCACGCUAGAUUAGUGUAAUGCUUUAAUUAUGAAACAUAUCUUAACGUUAUACCUUUUCAAAUUUUAGUUAUGAUGAAUGGAUUUAAAUUUGUUUCGCUUACGAUCAUUUAAUACUCGAUUUAAAAAAAAAAAUUGAAAUACCUUUUCAUAAAUGUAUGAAUCCUAACAUGAAUUUGAAUAAUGUGUGUAGAACUUCAUUAGAAAAAGGUUUAGUCUUAAUCACAAAAGUAAGCUCAAGUGUAUCUUGAUUGUUAAAAAAAAAACAGAGUAGUUCUCUUUUUUUUAAGACCAAGUGGUAUCGUUGGGUCAAUCUUGACAUGCAAACAUUGAAUCUAGCUCUACGAUCCAAAUAAUGACAGGAUAUCCAUGAAAAGAUUAGAAGAAAUGAUAAGAUCCUUGUUAAAAAUCCCCUUGCAUAUUUUAUAGGUUUAAACUCAAACAACUUCUAUGGUGCUUUUAGAUGAUAAUCAAAUCUGUGGCAAACUUAGGCCCGGUUCCGAUAUGACACAGCAGCCGAUCAGGGGAGAGGGAGUUCUGUAGUGCCGGGGGUGAAAGCUGAACCUUGAAUGGCGAGAGAGCCAGGAGGUGUAUCUUAACUAAACGUGUAUAACGAGUGGACUCCAUUGUAUCCAAAUCAAGGUUAUCUAAUCAGGAUCAAAAUCGAUUGCCGUCGUGAAAAUGGUAGAUGACGUGCCCUAACUCUUGCACGAGCAAUGAUGUUUUUAAAAAUAUUUUUUAUUUAAUAAUAUAUUAAAAUAAUAUUUUUUAAAAAUUUUAAAAAUUAUUUUUUUAUAUUUAUGUAUCAGAAUAAUCUAAAAUUAUUAAAAAUUUAUUAAUUUUAUGUAAAAAUAAUUAAUUUUUUUAAAAAAGUGGAAAAACAAAAAAAGGCUUUAGAAAAAUUACAAUAUUUGUUUUUGCGUCUUUGAAGUGGGUCUCCGGGAAUCAUUUCAAGCAAUGAGGUGGAAAGGUGAAUGUUGAAUAAUAAAAAGAAAUUUGAAAAGUGGAGAAUUGUACCGAAGACUAAAGGAGACAUGGGCCAUGCUUGGUAAUUGGAUAUCUAAAGAGCCGGAAGAAAUGGCCCUACGAUGUGUUCUUCUCCUUUAUUUAUUUAUUUAUUUAUUAUUUUUUUGACAAGCACAUUGAUGCAGCUUAACCAGUAUCUCAGGGAUACCACGGUUUUUGGAUUCGUCGAGGACAUGAUGAAAAGUGCUGUUUGGAUGCUUAUUUUCUUCAUGACCUGUUGUCCGAUGGAAAAGAAAUUAAGCGUAUAUUUGUAUAAAGUCCAUGAAAUUAACUGUUUUCUUUCUUCUAUAUAAUUUUUUUAUUGGUGCAUGGUAUCAGAAAAAAGCUCACGUAUCCAUUUCGUAUAAAAACUAAACAAACAAGAGAAUGGUCACUUAAAAUGUUUUAAGAACACAAUUAACAAGGAGCAUAAAAAACUAUAAUAAUAAUAAAAAAAAGGGAUGUAGUAAAAAUAUACGAGAGACGAGCUCUUAACAUCAUUUAACACGUCUUAUCUCAACAAGAGCAAGGAACGUCUGUGGGGAAAGAAAUGAAAACCACUAAGCACAUAUUUUUGAGAAAUAAUUCUAAUCCCUUCCUCGUCUAUUAGAAUGUGACAAAAUAUAGUUUUAUAAUGACGAAAAAUAAAAAUAAAGAGUUGCAAAUGAGACUCUCGUGGAUGCAAAUACAAAUUAAUAGUGGUGGCAUGUACUCUUGUAGAAGAUGAAUGACAGAGAAUUAAAGCUUAAUUAGCAAAUAAAUAUAAAGGGCCCGCCCGCCCUUGGCCUGCCGCCCACCCACUCAUCGCCUUCUAAUCAAGAUUCUCCAUCAAAACUUGGCAGUCAAAUAUCCUUCCAUUUCCGAGGGAACUCUAAGGGCAACAAUCUGAUCCAGUGGUAUCUAACGAAACAUCAAGUUCAGAGAUUCAACGAGGGAAUAAUGAUCUUGCGAUUCUACGUAUCUCUCGCAUGGAAAAAACAGUUUGAUAUAUACAAGCUAGGCACCAUCUUUGUCAUGUCACAUGGACCAAGCAAGAUAUCGUUUCAAGGAUUUUGAACUUAAAAAAAAAAAGUAACCUCUCCCGUUACAUAAUUAUAUCUUUACCGAGGGAAUUGAAGUCAUAGAAAGUCGAAUUCCUAUCUCAUUUGUUAGCCAUCAAAUAUAACAUCACUGGAUCAAGUCUUCAUGUGUUCCGAGCAACAUAAAUUAAAAUAUAUAUUCCUUCGACGAGCCACAUAAGUUGUCCCUCCCCCAGUGACAAAGCAAGGUUUUUUUUUCCCCCUUAGUGUCUAGAAACUAGAAUAGAAAAUGUGCUCUUAGUGCAGUAGUAUUUCUCAUAAUAGGCUAGAGUGGAGAUAGAUUCAAGCUCAAAGUUAAUUUAGACGAUUAUAUAUAUAUAUAUAUAUAUAUAUAUAUAUAUAAUAUAUAUUAAAAAAUUGUCCUUUAUCGUGUUUUUUGAUGUCUAAUAUCAUUAAGAAUAUUUGGAAAAAAGGAUAAACAGAAUCAUAAAGAUGGCCAAGAACCAUCACGACCCAGUUGCUGGAUACUGCGUGUUGUCUAAUGAUAAUAGCUGCUAAUAAGCAAGCCAUCAUGGAGGAUAUGAUAAUUAGCUAAUUAGAGGCAGCUCAAAAGCAACCACGUUCACAAUUAGACGAGGAAGAUUUCGUUAUCAAGCAUCGCCAUCUUUGGACUCAACGAGUCUGCAAUGAUAUCAAAAUAGGUCAAAACAACAAGAAGGAAUUCCAAGAAGAUCUCUGCUUUUGUCUUUUUCUUUUUUGUUCUCUUCCGACUCUACCCUUCCCUCGGUGAAUCUAAUGCCACCGUCAAGAUUUACGAGGCAGUCAAAGGAGGCAGCAGCAGCAUGUUUGAUUUCCUUCUUUCUUUAACACUCCCUUUCUUUUUUUAUGGGUGCUUUUUCUGCUUAAUGAGAGAGGCCCCACUCCUCUCUUUCUCUUUGCCAACGUUUUUAUGGGUUUGAAGACAAAUUGGGUUUUUAUCUUUUGAUUUUCCUUUUCUAAAUGCACGGACCCAGUCUUUCUUUACAUACAUGUCAUUAGAAAUAGAAUCCACUGCAGGUUCAAGUGUCACCAAAGACCAGCGUAUAUUAUUUUUUACCAUACUCUAUAUCAAAGUUAUAAAAAUCAGCUGAGUUGCGAGUCGGAAGAGUGAACAUAAAUUAUCUAAUUUUAAAAAAUAAAUAGAUAAAAUGUUUUUUUAAAAAAACCUUUUUUAGAAUAAGUCAACAAAUAGAUUGAUUAAGUUUUAUUGAGCAAACAUCAAAAAAAAAUUAUUUUUUUAAUCUGAACCGGUUUAAUUUUCGGGAUAAUUUGAUAGGUUAGUCUUGGUACAAAGACAGUGUUCUAUCUGCAUGUGUUGUUCUGAUGUGGACAUGUCUAUACGCGCAGACAUGACUUGUGUUUUGUGCGUACGUGUACUGGAUGUCGACGUGUCUUCUAUCUAAGUGGCGUGUUUUCAUUUUAUUCAUUUCUCUUCGUUAUCUCGGGGAGUCGAUGUCCUUUGUACAGAUUAAUGUAAAUUAAUCCAAUAUAAUCAAUUCUCUUGAUGUUCUCCCAGAUAUGAUUAAUUUUUUACUGUUAACUAUAAACUAAAAGAUGAGGAGUUUUACUGUAUUUUUUUAAUAAAUUAUUAUUUAUUAAAAUAUUGAUUUUUUAAUUAAUUUAUUUUUUAAAAAAAAAUAUGAUUUAUUUUUUUAAUUAUUACACUCUCGUAACCGAGUUUAACAGAUUAAGCUGAUUUUGGGGGUUAAUCUGGUUGACUCGUUUUUUUUUAUCAUUUAAUAUUGGGUUGAUUGAGAAUUAGAUUUUAUGAUUUAUUUUAUUUACUUUCUUUUAUGUUAUUUUUAGUCUAAUAACUCAAGAAUGGUGCUUAAAAGAUUAACUCGAGUAGACUCGGAUUACUUUUUAUCUUUUUUAUUUUAUUUUAUUAUUCAAUACCAGGUCGAUUAAGUUUUAAGUUUUAUAAUUUUUUUGAUUUGCUUUGUAAGGGGAUAUCUUAGUCUCAUGAUUAAGAUAAUUGAUUUUAGCAUUUUAACUAUGAUUAAAUCAUGUCAUUUAUUUUAUUUUAUUUUCAAAACAUUAUCAUAGUAUCACAACCUGAGUCAUGGGUCCUUCAACAUUGAAUUUUCUUUUGAUUUAGUUGUCUCAGCCUCAUGACCUAGGUGGUGAGUUAGCUUAAUUGACUCAACUUUUUUUUAAUUGACUAUUUUUUUUCAUCGUUUAAUAUCGUGUUUAAUUAAAAAUUAAGCUUCAUGAUUUAUUUUGCUUUAUUUUUUAUUAGGUUUUCUUGACAUCAUAACCCGGUAGUUGUUAACUUUAGUUUACUUUGCUUAUUUUUUGUGUCAAUUUUUAAAUUAUAAUUUUUUUAAAUUUCAUCAUUUAACAUUGAAUUUAACAGUGACAUUUAAGAAUUGAGUUGUAAAAUUUAUUUUGAUAUGUUUUCUAGUAGGUUAUCUUGAUGACAUGACCAAAGCCAUGGAUUUGAUAGAUUAAUCCGUGUUAAAUUAAGUUUUUUUUUUAUGAAGUUAUCUCGAUCUGAUGACCCCGGAUAUAGGUUUGACAGAUUAACUUGAGUUAUUUUUUAUUACAUGACCAAAGUUGUAUGAAUUGUUUUUGAACCUGUAUAUUUAACCGGGUUAUAUCAAAUCAGCUCCCACAUCAUUUAUUUAUUUAUUUCACUAAAAAAAACAUAUUAAUAAGAUCUAACAUUUAUCUUAUAUUAAAAAAAGAAGUAACCUGAUUCACAAUAUAGCAUAUAUGAAUUAUCUAGUAAUUCCAGAACUGGGUCAGUGACGUGGUGGUUUGCGUGAUCAUAGAAAAAAGUUAAUUACAAUGUACUGAUAAAUAUAUAUAUAAAAAAAGAAUAACUAAUUAGCUAUUUGAUGGCAAUGGAAUAAAUUAUCACCGAGAUUCAAUGAGUUUUUUUUUAGUUUAUGUUUCAGGAUAGAGUAAAAAACAUGGGUAGAGUUAUAUUUGACGAUGGUAUAUAUACAAAAACAUUUAUCAUGACAAUGAUAUACAACGCUAUAAAAUAUAUAUAAAAAAUAUUUCAUCUUUGUGUUAUCUAUUUUUAUAUUAAAUUUGAAAAAAAAAGAAAAUAUUUUUUAUUUCAUUUCAUUUUCAUGGAUGCUCUACUUAUUCAGUGAUUUCUAAAUACUAUUAUUUUUUUUUAUUUUACGUUGCGUUAAGGAUAAUUAUUAACUUAGUAUGUAUUUUAAUUUUAAAAUAUUAUUAAUUUCAUCCAUGAAAUAUUAACUCAUUAAUAUAAUUAUUUUAACGUAACCUUUGAAAAGAAUAUUAUACAUCCAGCAAAAAUACAAUAACCUGUAAUUUAUUUUUGUUAAUUCAUAUUUCUACAGAUACAAAUCAGGAGAAAUUUAUAAUAUGGUUUAGUCGGUUAGUUUUCUUAGAUUUUAUACAGAAAUACAAAUAUACAAGAAAAGAAGAUAAUAAUAAUAAUAAUAAUAAAAAGACUAUGUAAAAUUUGGAAUGGGUGGGAAAAGUAAAGGAAAAUGAUUAAACCUACUAGUCUACUACCUAGAACCAGGUCUAGGCUCAUCUAGGCUGAGACACAACUAGAGUGACAAGCUGUCUGUUAUAAUCCCAUGCGGCGAGUCUUGUUUAUUUUUUGAAGAAACUCACUUGAAUCUAUUGCGAGCACCGACCACCAUAAAAAAAUCUUCGUUUUAUUUCAAAUAUUUAUAUCUCUCAGAUCUAGUGAUAAAAUUGUAUAAUUUUUAUGCAAGUGAAUUUUUUAUUUUAUGAUAGUAUUGGCCAAUUUUGUGACCGAAUUCUGUACAACCAGAAAUAUCUCUCUCCGCUAGUUUUUUCCCUCUCUUCUUGAUAAAUGUUUUAUUAUUAUGUUUUAUAUAUAUAUAUUUGAGUUUUUCAAAUUCAACCGUGGAAGUUGAAUGUUGUAAAAUCAAUGGUUUAGAUAUUAAGUUGGGGAUAGAGAUGGAAGAUUUGAAAUGUUUUUAGGGGCAUUUUUUAAGAUAAAAAAAUUAUUGUUUGUCUUAUCAGACACAUUUUUUAUUUUUUUGACCUUUUGAGGUACAUAAAUAGCAAAAUUUUGGUUACAAUAAGAAGUUGUUUUUAAAAUAAUUUUUGUGAUUAUAAUUUUAAAAAAUUAAGUUUAAAAAAAGUAUGAUUAGUUAGAUUUAUGAUUGAGGUUUAUGUGUAGCAAAAGAAAUAUAUAAAAUAUUUGGUUGUAGUUGCUUUUCAAAAAUAUUUUUUUACUUAGAAAUGCAUCAAAUUUUUUAUUAUUAUUAUUUAAAAAUUAUUUUUAAUCCUAGCGCAUUAAUUUUUUUUUGAAAAUAUAUAUAUAAAAAAUUAUUUUGAAGUAAAUUUUUUUUUUUUUUAAAAAGUAUUUUUAAAACACAAAAACAAAUAGAAUUUUACGAACCUCAGUUAAAAAAAUAUAUAAAAAUUGUUUUAUAAAAUUAUAUUUGAAACUUAAUUUUUUAUGGGCUUCAUAAUAUAAAAUAUAAUUUGAUGUAUUACCUGACUAUGUUUUUUACACCACAUAUACAACAGCCACAACUAAAUAAACUUACCUUCAAUAAUUAUAAUGUUCAUGAGUAGAAUUAGAGGGGAAGCCUAGAUAACAACCCCGAGCCCUAAAGUUAAAAUAAUACAUAAUUCGUACAAGUUUUAUAUCUUAUAAUAUAACUAACUAUUCUAAAUAAGAAAUUGUAUUUUAACCCACAAUCUAUCAUUUUUGUCGACGUAUAUUGUCUUUGCACCUCAUCAUGUUCUUCGGUUUUUCUAAUUUAAUAUUCACAAUUCCGUCCUCGUGGCCAUGACCCCUGGCCGCACCACACGCCACGCAUGGAUUGCAACCUCCACAAAACUUAAAUAUAUUUAAAUUCAUAACCUGGUUUCAAAUUAUUCACGAAGAAAAGAUAUUCGGUGGUGAAACUAGUGAUUAAUUUUUAAAAUAAAUUAAAAUAAUAUAUUUUUUAUUUUUUAAAAAAUAUUUUCGACAUAAUACAUUAAAAUGAUAUAAAAAUAUUAAAAUAAUAUUAUUUUUAAGUUAAUAUUUUUUUGAUAUUUUCAGAUAUUUUAAUUUAUUGAUGUUAAAAAUAUAUUUUUUUAAAAAUUAAUAUUAUUUUAAUAUUUUUAAAAAAAUAUUUUUGACAUCAGUAUAUAAAAAUGAUAUAAAAAUAUUAAAAAAUAAUAUUAACUUAAAACAAUUUUUUUUUUUUUAAAAUGUUUCACGCGAAACGCUAGAAUCACAGAAAGAGUUCUCAUGAUCCGAGUUGCCCAAACAAUACGAACAAGUGUCCAGUGGUUCUUAGCUAGUUCUCACAUUUGACGAGCCUUCUUCCAUUAAGUAGAUCUGAAUGGUGAAAAGUUGUAAUAACGUGUAAAACAUGCUCGACCACUCGGUAUUAUUACCGUUUUGUAUCUUAAACAUGAGGGCGGCUAUAUGUCUCUCUCCUUUUCAAGUCUGACCUCGAGUUUCAACGAAGAUUUCCUUUCGCUCCUUCACUAUGAUGAAUCAAUUGUUAAUUAUUAUCCAAAAUGUAAUUAAAUAUUGAAUUUUUUAUAUUAUAAAAUUACAUAAUUUAAAAAGGUUUCAAUUAAAAUAUGCAGCUUAAUGCAGCAUGUGAUUGUCAUAUUUAAAAAACCUAAUAUUUAAUGAUAUUUAUAUUUUAACUAUUACAUCAAAUCGGAUAAAUAUUUUAUGUUUUAAUAUUAAAUAUUUUAUGUUUUAAUAUUAAAUAUUUUUAUCAACAUCUAUCUUUUAAUUUUUUAAAUUUUAUUUUUAAGUAUUAUUAAUAAAUUUUUAUUUAUUUAUUCACAUGUAUAGUUUUUAAUUUAUACAUAAAGUUUUUUGUUCCAACAUAAAAUUUUAAUUCAAAGGUUUUUUUAUCUUCUUUUAAAAAGAUAAAAAUAUCAAACCAGAGGAAACACGGAUCACAUAUCCAUGAUAUAUCAUAAAUAUCGUUAAUAAAUGUAGAUAGAUCAUAAAUAUCGCGAAUAAAUAUAGAUGUAGAUGCUGUUAGAUGAUUAGAGGUUUAAAGAGCAAGAGGGAAUAAAAUGGGGUCACAAGAGCCCAGAACCACUCAUCUGCUUUGACAUUUUGAUAUAUUUGGUGGUCACAAUUUUUUCCCUCGUCUUCCAAGGCACUGUAUACCACCUUCCAUGUUGCCCUAUCAAAUCAGAAGGCUUCUGUCAUUUUCAGACAUUGCCCCCGCCUCUCCCGAAUUUAUUGACUGAUUGAGACCGAGUUCGAGCCGGCGACUCGUGUCAUCCUAUAGCUUAAAUUUUCUUUUCAAGGUGCUAUGUACCCAUGCCUAGAAGUCCUUAUUCAGCUUCCUGGUGAUUUUCUUUGAAGCUUCUGUCAUGGCGAAAUUAUCAUGCAGGCGACCAGCUCCGUAUUGGACUGUUUUACGCAGUUAUCAUCACAGUCUCUCACACUAAUCAAAUCUCAAUGGAUUUCACGUUAUGAAAUGUAAUGAGUGCAUGAACGCAGAGUGGAAUUAAGCCACAGAAUAUAGCAUAAUAUAUUUACGGGGAGGUGAAUUUUCUUAAACCUAUUUUUUUGUCAAUAAUAUUUUCCUGAUUUCUUCCUUCUAUGUUCAAAUCUACAAAUCUGGUUACAUGAGAUGCGUGAUCAUGUUUUCCCCCUCAGAAACAAUCAAUACAACAGCCCGCUGAGGUUUAUGGGCUAGUUUGAGCCCAUUAAACGAGUUGUCUUUCGAAACCAAUAGAAAAAGAAAACAAUAGUAUAACUUACUUCAUGAUUGUUUUUUCGGCAGAAAUGAUGUUUUUAAUUUUACUUGACAUUAAUUUUUUAUUUUUAAAUAAUUUUAAUAUAUUGAUAUUAAAAAUAAAUUUUAAAAAAUAAAAAAAUAUUUUAAAAAACAAUGGUACCAUAAUCUUAAUUUUUUUUUUAAAAAUCCAACUAUUUCAACUGAGGUUGGGCUUAGUAGUACGGACCGGGCCGGCCAUUCUUGUGACAGCAAAAGACAACAUACAUAGGCCUAAUGGUUGCGCAAAGCUUUAGGUCCAAGGAAUGUUUUUAAAACGACAGCAUUUUAAAAUAAGCUGGAGUAUAGUUUGCUAAAAGAAAAACAUUUAUCCCUUAACUAUCACCCAAUUCUCAACUGGGUCCUAAACAAAACCAAAAUUAUCAUUUGCAUACCCAUCAAUCAAGCAUUAUCCAAUUCAACCCAUCAUUAUAAUUUAUGACAAGAAAAAAGUGAUUUAGACAACUAGAUUCUCCCCUUUUUUUAUAUAUUAUUAAAGAGAUCCUUUUCCACUAAUUCUAGCUUGCCAUCUUAGCAUUUAUGAGUUUGGAAGCUCACAAAUCAUGCAAUAAAUAAAUAAAAUUUUGUGUACUGGCUCUUCUUCAAUUGGUUGGAUUUUAAAACUGUAGAUUGUUGAGUUGUAAGUCCAUGAAUGGUAUAGAAUUAUUCAGUUAAAAAAGGAAAAAGAGAGUUGAUUGGGUGUUGUGCAGAAGAUGGGAUCCAAUUGAGAUUUGCUUGUUUGGCGAUCCAAUUGAGAAUUGUUUAUAAUCUGGGGAUGAAUAUGUCGUUUUCAAGAAAAAGCUCUUCGUGGUAAUGGUAGUUCUAGUUCUAGGGCUUCUAGCAAUAGCACAAACUACGAAGUACCAGUCAAAACGCUCUCUUUCUCCGUCAAGCUAGUAGAAAUUUAACGGUAUUUUUUCUCACUUGCAAUUUACACAAUCCUCCAAAAAGGCCAAAAGGGCAAUUCCGUGUUGUCUGCUCAGGUAACUCUUCUCCAUUGAUGUUUUUCAUCUCCUUAGAAACUUGAUUUACAGAUUGCAUUUUGCUUAUUUCAUGUUCUUUUAUUGGGUAAAAGAAAAUCCUAAGGCUCAGAAGACAGUUUUUGCAGUGACCUAAGAUUUUGAUGUUUUCUGCUCGAUUAAAUGCAGAAGGCAGCAACAGCAUGCAAAUCUAGGGUAGGAAAUUGGAUGAGAAGUACAAAAUAAAAUUGUUUCUGCUUUCUUGAGGAAAUGAAGCAAGAAUGGUUUUAGAGUGACCCAGUUUGGUCUUUUGCUAAAUAAUUGCUAUUUUCGAAUGCUGGCUUGGAUUAGCGUGCCUUUUAUGAGGGUUUGUUGAACACGAGGGUUUACUUUCUGCCUUAUUGAUUGAUGAAUUUUGUGGUGAUUUUACUUGGGAGUAAUCUUUACUUUCUUUUGUUUCCCUGUUAUAUUUUUCCUCUUCUAGUCUUCAUUUAUUAUCAAUUGCAUGUCAAUGUAGACGUCACCCAAUUUGUUUACUUGUUUUCUGUAGUCUAUAGGCAGAGCCCUGUAUAGUUAUUUUGCUUAUUAACGGUUCUGGGGAUCUCUGGGCGGUUAACUGUAAAUAGAAAUUUGAUUUAGUUUGGAUUUGUGUGCUGGUGAUCGAUAGAGUAGAGGGACAAUUUCAAGCUUUUAACUCUUUUAUCUUUGCUUGCUUGACAUUCUUCUGAACUGGAGUCUGGUGAUCUCUGUCCAGGGUUACAUUGUAUGUGACAUGAAGAGGACAAUACCAUGGACUGACCCGGUUGAUGUUAUAUCAUCGGAUGAAUCUUCUUCCUCGGAUUCAGAUAUAGAGCUUAAUGAUGGACUUGAUGGCCAGCGGUUAUCCAAUUAUGUUACAAUCGAUCAACCCUUCAAAGAAAUGACAUCUGAGGGUACUAACACCUAUUUGGAUUUGGAUCCUGGUUAUAUAUUGUUUUGAUAAAAUUCGUUUGUGCAUUAUGCGAUCACCAAGUAACUUCACCUGUAUGAUACCGGUUGUAUCUCUGUGAAUGAACUGUUAAAAUGUUCCUUGUCUGGUUGAAUAUUAUCCCGCUGCUAGUCCAUUUUUUAUUCUGUCUUGAGUUGAAAGUUACUCUGGGCGGUCAUGCACUUGGGUUUUGCACUUGUUUAACAGAUAUGCUCAACCAUUCAUCUACAUUUUAGCCUUACUAAAUGUGUCAUUGUUCAGGUGUGUUGAUUAGAAGGGCAGAAAUGUAUCAAGAUUACAUGAGGCAUAUCCCUAUCCCAGUACAACGUGGCUCUGCCAUCCCAUUUUCCUCAUGGGUGGGGUUAGGCAAAUCCAUCAAGCAACUAUAUCAGCAGCCCUUGCAUUACCUCACCAACAUUCUUCUAAAUACAUGGGAUCAACAACGAAUUGGCAGCGAGGACGAGCAUACGCCCUUGGAUAUCAUGAUUCAUCCUUGUAAAGCUGAAGCCACCAUCUGGCUUGUUGAAGAAGUUCACAGGCGCACAUCAUCACACCAUCACGUGGCUAAAAUCUGGCAAUCUGACCCAAUGCAUCAUGCUUUUGUAGACUCCAUUUUCCCAAAGUUAUGAAGCACAUCUCGACUUUAAGCUUGAUUUUGUUGGAUGUUCCCUGAUAGCUUGGGCAAGAGGUAUGAACUGUAUAACCUGCAUCUGAAAUGGAACUGAAACUUCUCUUAUGGUUGUUCCUUUAUUGUUAUUUUUUCUUUUGUAUAAUUGUCACGUGCAUAAAUAGAUAUAUUUAGCUUUCUUUUUUUCA
This 48204-nucleotide long non-coding RNA is filed under the name Populus tremula. RNAcentral describes it as "long non-coding RNA (PTRE_LNC002802)". The record is from RNAcentral. Lineage: Eukaryota; Viridiplantae; Streptophyta; Magnoliopsida; Malpighiales; Salicaceae.